GUCAACCAAACCUUUCCUUUCUAUAUAAAGGUGGCUUGGCCUCCUACAUAUUAGCCAAAGCAAGAAAACCAACAAAACCUAUAAACAGCUACUUGUCUUUGUGUGUUGAUUAAUUGUAGUUAACAUGGCACGUCAGGCAGAUCGUCUUGUUAAGAUUGGGCAGGAGGGUUUUGCAACCAUUGAUGAGCACUUCGGCCGGGCCAAGAGGCGGCCACCAGUUAUGAAGGUUCCCUAUGCUCAUCCCACAUAUUACGAUGUUCCUGCAACAGAAGUUAUCAACAGCAACGAGGCAGCUCAACGCUACAAGGGGAGGGUUUAUGUCGAUUACCCUAAGGGUAAACCAGUUCCGUUUUAAAGACCUAUUGAUUAAUCACUUAGCUUUCUUGUAUGCAUAACCUCCUCCAGUUGUGUUACCUUUAGUCCUGUACGAUAUUCUCCCUCUGCUAAACGUAGACGAGGAGAGGUUGCUAGAACUCGAGUCAGGAGCUUCUUCUUACUUCUUCAAAUAAACUUUCUGUGAUUUAUAUAUCAUUUUCUAUUUGUAUGUAUUGUCAUAAUUAUCUUUCUUACUUCCUCAUUAUCACCUCUUACUUAGCAUGGAAUUGAAAGAUACAAUAUGCUCUUGAAAUGCUUUGAAGCUCUUCAAGGUGUGAUUUCACCGACUAAGUUUGGAACUGUACAGAGCUCAAUGAUGAGCCGUGGGAGGCGUCUCUGAUUGUUGCACUGUAAGCAUGAGUGUACGUAUGAAUAUAACCAGCAGAUCCGCAAACCACAAGUGAUGACAAGCUUCUUAACACUGCUGCAUUUAACAGUUUUACCAACAAAAUGUUUUGUCGGUAUUUACUCUACCAUUCCGUCAGCAUGAAUUUUAUCGACUGAUUUACGGACGGAAACAGUCCAUUGGUAAAUUCCUCUUGUCAGUAAUUUCAUUAAUGUCGGUACAAAAAAACCCGAUGGUUUUACAAAUAGAAAAUGCAAGCCAAUUUUUUUUCCACUGGAAUAUACAGACGGAAUUAUUUCUUCGGUGAUUGACAGUGGCAUAUGGAGUAAUUUUAUUCCAAACCCUCUAUAAAAUACCGAAGGAAUUAUUCCAUCGGUGAUGUAACAGUUGAAAUGGCAUAUGCAGUAAUUAUUUUUCAACUCUCUGGAAUAUAACGACCAACAAAGUUUGUCGGUAACUUCGUCCGUAAUAAUUAAAAAAUAUAUAUAUUUUUAAAAAUUAUUUAUUGAACAAAAAAAGAAAAUAAUAAAAAAUAUAAAAUUGUAUAAAAUUCAAGUAUGUAAAAAUAAAUUACCUUAGUAUAAAAGCCAAAUAUUCAUUACAAAUUUAUAUGUUCAAAUAAAAUUAAACUAGAAAAAUGGCGGCGUUGGAGGAGGCUGAUCGUUCCCGGGACCAUAUGGCCAAAAAGAGUGUCGCACGUGACCCGCGCGGCGUCCGAUGGUGAUUUUUUCGUUAUGCGUUUGCUUGAUUGGUUCGUUGGGAGUCGCCACCUAGUAUUUAAUUGAGGGCAACUAGGAAACCCGGGUGUACUGGUCUUGUCAGAGAUUCACGGGUAAGGGACUGGUUGUGGUUAGGGAAGGUAUUUGCACCCCUAACGCACCCUACCUGAGGUAAGCUGCUUCGUGGCUUUGAUGUGAUAAAGAAGUUUUAAAAAUUUUGUUCUUUCAUCGGGUAUUAGAAAUACGACUUACAUGUAAGUUCAUAAUUCUUGACCGUGAUCAAAUCAAAAUAUUAAAUUCUUCUUUAUUCUUUGCAAUUUUAUCAUAAAAAAAUACAUUUAUAAAAAAAAAACUACAAACAAACACAUUCACUUUCACUAUAUUUUUUCUUUUUUUUCUUUUUCACAUCUAUAUUACAAAAAUUCAAAACUAAACAAAAAUUACAUUAAAUAAUUUGAAAUUACAAAAAUAGCCCAAAAACAAGUCCAUAACAGUGCUAGGAAGCUUUCUGGAACUGCAUGCAGUGCUGAAGAAGGUUCCUGAACAGUUGAACAGUGCGCAACCGCCACUAGCGUCGCGUGGGCUCACGCGCCGCCGCGAGAAAUUCCAGGCAGUAGGGGGCGCUGCUGUGGCUUCCUCCCCUCUUCACUUCCCUACCGGCGGUUAGGGUCUUCAUCAACUGCAAAAGAAUAAAACACCCAAACCAGUUGAUUUUAAUUUUUCUUUCUUUUUCAGAUUUAUUUCGGUCUUCUCCUUUUCAUAUCUGCUUCACCGCAGAUCUUUCUUUGGUUUACAUCUUCUUCUCCUUCGCUUCAGGUGGCCGGCAGUUGGGUGGCGACGACACUGGAUUCAGGUUGUUGCUUUGGCCGCUGCAAUUGGUGGCUGAAGGAAAUGGCGUGGAUCUGUGGGCUGCCGUGUGCUGGCUGUUGUGGCUGACGGUGUGGAUAAAACGUGGAUUUGUGGUCUCUGUCUUUAGCUCGGUCAACUUGAGAUCCCAAUCUGGCCAUUCCCCUUAACUAGACCAAAAUGUCACCUUCAACUUGGUUAACCUGAAAUCUCAAUCAAAAGACCCCUUUUAACCACAACCUUAGUCUUUUUCUUUAGCUCAACCAACCUAAAAUCCCAAUGUGGCGAUUCCCUUUAACUAGAAUCAAAAUAUCAUCUUCAACUUGGUUAACCUGGAAUCUUAAUUAAUCUAGAAACCCCCUAGGCUUCCUAGGCUUAGACUUGUGUGGACUUAGUGCACUAGAUUCUUUUUUGUUUAAGUUUUGUUGGUUGAAAAAAUACUUCCUAAAAUUAUUAUUAUUGUUAUUGUUUUUGUUAUUAUUAUUAUUAUUAUUAUUCAUACACAGUUAUAUUUAUGAUUAUUAUAUGGUCAAUUUGUCUAUGUCAAAGAAUAGAAUCUGAGGCAACUUUUUGACCAAAAUUCCACUCUCUAUUAAACCAAAAUGUUUAAUGCAAGCAACUUGGUUACUCGGAUUUGAGAUGUAAAUAGAUUUUUUGUUGGGAUGAGGUGGUCAGGUUGCGUCACAUUGAUUAUGUCAUGAAGUUAACUAGAGUAAGAAAUAAAGAUAUAAAGUUUCGGAGAGAAUCAAGAUCAGUUAAAGGAAAAAAAAAAGAUUAUGAAAAUAAAUUGGAAAGGAAAAGUUUAGUUAUAAGGAAUCAGAUUCACAAAGAAAUUUAAGUCUCAUCGAUUCUAGGAAACAAGUUGGAAGGAAUCAAUUUUACAAUAAUUGAACUUGGCACUAGAGAGAACCUCUGUGCCACUAAGUACUGAAUCGUUAUUGAAAUGUACUGAAGGCCAUUUGUUUGCCAUUUGUGCUCAUUAAGACCAUAAUUCUAUUCUUUUAUAGUUUUUUGGAAGAAAUAAAAAACUAGGGUGAGUUAAUAUUCUGUAAAAUAAGCUUGGAAUACCGUGCGGGGGCUUGGCUCAGAGAUCAUUGAGUUUUUCCUACAAAUUGCCUUUUAAUUUGUUUCACCUGUAAUUGGACUGGGAUUCGGUAAUUCUGUUAAGGACUUUCAUUUGGUUUAAGUUUCCCUUUUGUUUACAUAUGAGGUUCCGAGACAACAGUUGCUUGCUGUUCUUGAACAAACAUUGCUUGGAGGUUAUCCAAUGCCGAGAUCAAGGUCAGAUAAUACUAGCGUACGAUUGUGCUUAUUGCCAUUAAUUAGAAACUGCAAUAUCGUAACAUAAUUAAAAUGAGAUUAUUCUGAUUAGAGAGCAGAAGGAAUCUUCUUUCAUAAUUGGCUUUUGCGAAGAUUUAGUGUUUUUGCUGCUCCUACUUUUGGACCUGACUUGAUUCCUGACCGGUAGAAACAGCAUUAGUCCAAAAGAAGGGAAGCUUUUGUUUUCUUUAAUCACAUGAUCACAUGCCCAGCACAAAUUCAUAAAAGUGGCUCUAAUGAUUGGCUGACAACAGUUGUUCAUAAGCAAUGUUUGCGUUCCUUAUUUUUCAAUUUACAAAGUAUUUAGAACAUUCAAUACUUUUUUGUAUGCAUAACCUCCUCCAGUUGUGUUACCUUUAGUCCUGUACGAUAUUCUCCCUCUGCUAAACGUAGACGAGGAGAGGUUGCUAGAACUCGAGUCAGGAGCUUUUUCUUACUUCAAAUAAAAUUUCUGUGAUUUAUAUAUCAUAAUUUUCUAUUUGGCUGGUCAAGCAUGCAUUGUCAUAAAUAUCUCUCUGCUUCCCUGAUUAUCACUUUAUUCACCUAUUACUUAGCAUGAAAUAUUGAAAGAUUAAUGCAGUUGGAAGCACAACAAUAUAGCUGCAAGCAUGCAAAGACAGAAGAUAAACUGAAAUAUGUUAAAACACAAAAGAAUCCCAAAACCUUAUUUUAUUUCUAAAAUAUUAUGUGAUCAAGUCUACCUCCUAGAGAGGUUUACAAUCCCUAUUAUAGGCUAGAAAAAUGGACCAAGAUUGGAAACAAAAUCAAAAUCCCAAAACAUAACGGGAAAUAACAUAAAAUCUGCAAAAUUAAGAAAAAAUAACAAAAUUAACCCAAAUAAUAACUCAUGAGCCUAAUUUUUGGAGAUCCAAUGCUCCAAUAACUACUGAGUGGUUUUUAAUUGGAAAACAACAUGUAGAAUUACUACUCUGGUCUUGCGUGAUCAUGCUUUUUCUUGGACCAAAACAUGUCUUACUAGUACAUGAAAAUAUGUGGGAGGCCAUAUAUAUAGUCUGUUUAUGGAAAAUACAUAAUUAAUUUGCUGUUCAAAUGGUUUUAAGCUCUUCAAGGUGUGAUUUCACUGAAUAAUUUCGAGUUUAGAAUUAUCACCUCAUUUUGGAAUUGUCCUGAGCACAGGAUAAAAUGAUGAGCCAUGGGGAGCGUCUUGGAUUAAGAAAGAAUAAACGGAGUUCAAGGUAAAACAACAGCUUAGGAAAAAAAAGUACAAAUUUACAAUAUAUCUAAGAAUAUCAGCGAUCAUGACCAUGAUUGGAUCAUUUGUGAAUUCUAUAACCAAAAUUUCCUUCACAAAUCUUUAACUAAGCUGGUAGUCGAUGAAGAGUUAAGGAAAAGCAUGAUUCCCAAUCCGAGCUACAUAUAUAAAUAUCUUAUCUCCUAUGAAAAUGAGAAGGGUACGCCUCCCUUUGAAGCAUUGAUUUACACAUAUCUUUUACAGAAAAAGGGAAACAAUGGGAAAUGCUCUGAGUAUAUACCUUUUCUUGAUCUUUCCCAAACCUUCAUUAUAAAUGGGACCCAUCAAACAUGAGAUGUGCUUUAACCUCCACCAUAUUUCAUCUUAGCCUAGAAGGAUAGACAAGAAUAUUAUUGCUUCUGAAACAUAACGAUUACAAGCAUCGCCUUUCGGUGAACUUUUGAUGACAUGAAACUGCCACAAAUUGGGUGCUAUCCGAGGGACUUUUGUUUUUCUGCUCUGUUAUUGGAUAUAUACAACUGAAAUCUUUAAGUCCUCUUUAGGGUACCCCUGAAAGAAAAUGGUCUUUCAUAGAAAGUCCUGGGGAAUCUGAGGCAUAUAAUAUGAGAUAUAUAUCGUCCCAAGAUCAUAAAAACGAUAAAUCUUAAUCUCAUCAAGUGUAGCCAUGAAGUGGGAUCAAAACCUAUUUUCUUAUUGUUAUUAACUAAAGGGAAAGCCACAACUAAGUCUCUGUGCUAUGAUUGUGAUUGUGUCGGCGUCAAGGAAUUGCCACGUAGUAGUUUGGUUUAGGGUCGCUAGAAAACCCGGAUAUACUGGUCUUAUAAGAGAUUCUAAGUGUAAGGAAUUGGUAGUGGCUAUGGAAGGCAUUAACACUCCUUGGGCACUCUACCUGAGUUAAGUUGCAUUGUGUGGUUUAAAUAUGGUUUAAAGGUUUUGAUGGGUUCCUAACCGGUAUCAUGUCUAUGUUUUAGGAUGGGGUUUAUUCAUGUGAAUAAAUCUGGCGUUUUGAAUUUAUUAUGGCCUCGUGUGCCCCAAUGAAUUCUUAUAGAAAGGAUUCACGUAGGUGCCCUAACAGGGUUCAUUUAUCCUAAAAAGCGGAAGGGUUUUCCAUAAUUCAAUCGUGCGUUGUGGUGAAAAGUACUCCCAAUUAAAAUUGAUGAAUAUUUAGAAUAAUUAUGAGAAUUUUCUAGUCAAUUCCUGAUAUUUAAUUACCAGUCUACUUGCAGGUCCAACAUUUAUACCACAAUAUUGACCAUUAAUUCUCAUGAAUUAAAAUUUUAAAGGUUAUUGAAAUAUUGGCUAAAUUCUCAUGAAUUUAGUAAACCAGUUAUUAAAUUCAAAAUGCUAGGAAAUAUAUAUUUUGUAAAAACUUCCUAAAACACAUGUGUGUGUCUAUAUAUAUAUAUAUAUAUAUAUAUAUACUUUUUAAGCAAACACAUGAUUUUUGCAUUUUUGAGGGACUUGUUCGUAUGCAAUUAAAACAUUUGGAAAAAUUAAUUUUUUUUCUUUUUAUCUUUUCUAUCACAAAAUGAAAAUAAGUAAUAAAACAAAUGCAACACACACAUACAUUCUCUUUUUUACUAUAUCUUACUUGCACAUCUAAAAAUUACACAUGUUUACAAAACACCAAAAAUUCAAAUUUCUAACAAUAAUUUAAAAAAAUUGCAAAAUAGACCUUCCAAAGGUAAAAAAUAAUUUGGAGAAGUUGGAGCUCGGGAAUAGUGCUAGAAGAUUUUAGGGUUGGAGGAAUAGUGGCGAUGCGUGUAUCGAGGUGCCAUUUCCACUAACAACGCGUGGAACCACGCGCUGUAGCAGCUGGAGAGAUGGAAAACAAGGUGGAUCUGAAGCAUAAUCUUCUUCUCUUUAAUCUUGUGCCAACAGUGAGUGUCACCUAACCUGCAAGACAAAGAAAAAAAAGCACAAACAAUAGCUUUUACUUUUAUUUUAUUUUUUAGAUCUCAUUCUCUCAUUCUUUCUUCAUCUUAGUUUGCCUUUUCUUUUCUUCUUCAGGUGGUUGCUGCUGCUAUCAUAGAUGAAGGACGUUGGGUGUUGCCAAGAGGAGUUAAUACCUUUUUUGGUGGUUUCGGGUGUACUUGUGUUAGAGAAAAACAAAACGGGGAGUCUUGGAAGUAGUUGUUAUUGGUUGGAGCUGCUGGUGUUCGUGAUGGCUGGUAGCGUGGAGACCGAGAGAGAUGAGGAAAUGGGUCUAUUUCUUUGAUUUGGUGAAGAGAAAAUGAUGGUUGGUUGUUUUUUUUUUAUUUCACGGGUGGUGGUGGUUGAAAUGGGUUAAGAGGAGCAGGAUUUAAAGGAUAAUGCUCUAGUUGUGUAUUAUAGAAUGUACCUAUAUAAGAAAUAUUAUUGGUAUACUCUUAAAUUGUAAUCUCCACCAUUACUAUUGUAUAUUGUCAUACACAUAUAUAUAGAAAAGGCUGGCUAACCAAUAGGUUAAGCCUCCUAAUUAUUCUCAACUUGGUAUCAGAGCCUUCUGCAAUCAGAACUAUUUCUUCCCUCUCCCUAUGGACUCUACUCCUGCUGCCACCCUCUCCCACUACCACACUGGCGGUGCAGCCCAGCCGGCCAGCCAAUCAAAAGUUGUUGCUGAUGGUUCUUUCUCACACCAGUAGUAGCCCUAACUUGCAAAGCAGCACCAUGGUUCCUUCUCCCAUGUUUCUGUUUUCCCUCUUCACAUCAUGGGGACAUCAACUCCUUUUAUCAUUGCAUUAUCCAUCACUCAGCAAGUGGUUUCAUUGAAUCUUACAAACACCAAUUAUCUCUAUUGGUGAAUGCAGGUAAAGCCAUAUCUUUGGUCAAGGUGUUUUCCACUUUGUCGAUGGCUCAAUGUUAUGUCCUCCCUCACAUGUUUUUGAUAGUUUUGAUGGUUCCUCUUUGGCAAUCAACCCCUCCUUUCUUUGUUGGAAGCAAUAUGAUUAGCUUAUUUUAAGUGUGUUACCCCCCUCUCUCUCCAUGGAUGUACUGCACCUUAUGGUAAAAUGUCAGACUUCUUUUUGUGUUUGGUGCACUCUUGAGAAAGUGCUUGCUUCUCCGUCGAAUUCUUGUAUCAUACAACUCCAUGGGUCUUUUCAAGAUCUUUGGCAAGGCGAUGCCUUAGUUGCUCAAUAUAUGCAGCACGCCAAGUCAUUAUUUGAUGAACUGGUUGCUGUUGGUUGACCCCUUUCUCUUGAAGACUUCAACCUUUACAUAUUUUAUGGUCUUCGUGGUGAGUUUAAAGACUUGGUAACUAGUCUUGUGACAAAGGCAGAACCGUUAUCAUACUUGACCUUCAUAGUCAUCUUCUUACUCAUGAGUUUCUGCAUAAGACUUCCCUUCCAUCCAUGGCUGCAAAUCCACCUCUGCUGCCCACACCAUCUCUUCUGCCCUCUGCUCAUCUUGCUCAGCAUCAGCACAACCCUAAUUUCAAUCGUAACUGUAACAACCCUGAUUUUCUACAUUCUUUUUCGCGAUACAUUGGAAAUUUUCAGGUAAAUUUUUUUUUUUUUGAUAUACAGGUUCCACCAAAAUUUCAGCAGAGUCUCCCCUAUACUGGGAGGUCCCAAGUUAUUGACAUAUACCUGUUUACACUUCUAAUAUCUCACAUCUCAUAACUCGAUCACGACCCAAUCAUCUUGGGUCUCAAUCCCACAAACAUCAUCAUCAUCACAACCAUAAUAUUUAUAACAUACAUUGAACAACAAAUAUCAUUAUAGAGGAAUAAAUGAGAUAAACACGCAUACAUGAAACAUGAUUAUAUGAAUUUCAGAGUUAGGUUUGUUUAUUCAAGUUUAAACAUCAAAUAUAUAAAUUAAGUUCUAUAAAUGUUUUAAUAUUUCAAAAUACAAGGAUAUACUACCUAGAACUACAUAACAAAAAGUGAACAAAAGCUAGGAUCUACUCCUGUAGUACACUCGAUGAUCCUGAAACAAAAUACAUAUUAUUGAAACAUGAAUAUCACAAUAAGUAUAGUAACACAAAUAUCCAACAAUUUAAAAAGGCAAACAUGUAUUCAUAUUCUAUUCACUUCUCCAUUUUUGUUUCCAUUGGAACUCUUCUUCAUUCAACUACUAAAACCGUUUCAUCUUCCAUUUUUAACUUCCAUUCAAGAUACCAUAAAAUCAACCACAACUAUUUUUGCCUAACUCAUUGUCAAUACUAAUUCCACCGGUAUCAUCAUCACCUCGUAAGCAUUGAUGUUUAGUGAUCCCCUUACCCGGGACCCUAACAUACACUAAAUGUAUGCUAGUCCAUGCCCCAUAGGCGUCAAUGCAUGGUGAUCCCCUUAUCCGGGAUCCUAACAUACACUAAAUGUAUGUAAGUCCAUGCCCAUAGGCAUCGAUGCAUGGUGAUUCCCGUACCCGGGAUCCUAAGAUACACUAAAUGUAUGCUAGUCCAUGCAUGGUGAUCCCCUUACCUGGGAUCCUAACAUACACUAAAUGUAUGCUAGUCCAUGCCCUAUAGGCAUCAAUACAUCGUGAUCCCCUUACCCGAGAUCCUAACAUACACUAAAUGUAUGCUAGUCCAUGCCAAUUUCAUCCAUUAAUAUUGUCAUUCUUUGUCCGGUCAUAGUUAUCAUUACGAAUUUUCAUUUCAAGCAUGGCUCGUUUCUUUUCGAAGCUACGAUGUAACAUCACAUGUUUCCCAAAGGGAAAGGACCUAAAUUUUCACCCUUUAAUGCAUCUAAAUAGUCAUUUUAGCGAUUUUCCGAAUCUGCCAGCAAAGGUCGUAUUCCGACCUAUCCUCAGAUUUUUUUUCUAUAUCUGGAGUUCUAGGACUCCUUUUCAAGCAAGUUUGGUCUCGUUGGAAAGUUAAGACACAGGGCUAAAAGUCCCAUGAAGGGAGGAGAAACCAGUUCUGCCCCCAAGACAUUCGAAAUUAUUCGUCAACAAAUUAGACCUACUGCCCUAUAGGGUCUGUCAUGACCCAGUCUCGGUUGGUGACCCAUAACUGGAUUUCUAUAGCUCUAAAUUGAGUAAGGCCAGUUUCCUUAGUUAGUCAACAUCCAAAUCUACAAUUAUUAUGAGGAACCUGAUCCUAAUUCCCUCAUCCUCCUACUCGAAUUCUCUCCACAAGUAAGGAGACGAAUCUAUCCAGAUUCAUCAACCUUUCCAUUUACACACAAUAUCCACAAUUCAACCUUUUCCCUUUAUCUCAACCCCUAGCCAUAUCACAUGUCGUUUAAGAGUGUCAACAAUAUCUUUUUACGAGUCAGUUUAUCCUAACUAAUUGAUCUAUACCAUUGUAUGCAAGGUACUCUUAUUCAUUCCAAUAAUAUCACAACAAGUCUGAUACAUAUCAAUGUACGUAAGACACUCGUAUCCAUUUCAAUUAUGUCAUAACUAGUUGAUACACAUCAAUGUAUGCAAGGUACUCAUAUUCAUUCCAAUAUUUAUCGAAGCAAUAAAACAAUAAAUUCUGAAAUCAAUGAGUUUACAGAAAUUGAAAAGGCAAGGUGCGAUGCACCUACCUAGAGUAUGUGCAUGUGCUUCCACUCCAUGCAAUUGUCCAGUCCCCACAGCUUUCUCUGUACCACCAGAGAUUCAGUCUUUAUCAACAAUACAACCAACAUCACAACUUUAUUUAAUUUUCAUUCAACUAGUAUUCUCAAACCAAUCACAAGGAAUUUCUUUAGGAUCUCAUACUCUUUCCCAUUUUCAUGUUUAUAUUCAUUCUUAUAAUUUUGUUAUCAAAACCAUCACUCAACAACAAUUCCAAGCAAAGAUUAAGAAUCGUCUAAUUCCGAUCAAUUUAGCUUAACCAACCCAGAACACUAUCUAGUGUUUUAAUUAUAAUUAAAGCUGAAAAACUUUGUUUUGGGUGUGAUUUAUCUCCAUCAAAGGCUAAAACCUAGAAAUACAACUUUUAUGAAGAAGCCAACUCCAAAUUAUUUUGUUUUAAGGCUCAAAAUCAACAAUCAUAAUAGCCCCUCCUUUAUAGCUAAAUUUUUUGGACAACGAGGAUUUUCAUCCCUUGAAAAUCCUUUUCAACUUUCAACUUAUUUUCAUGCAAAAACAACAUCAUCCAAGGUCAUUUGGCAUCAUUAAAUCACAAAUUCAAACCAAUUAUAAAGCAAAGGAUUCAAACAAUUUCCCUACCUCUACAAUAUAGCAAGAUUAGACCAAAAUAAGGAAACUCAUUCCUUUUAGGAUUUCUCUUAUUAUUAUUAUUAUUAUUGUUAUUAUUAAUACAACAAAAUGAUGAACCAUUUAUUUUCUUUCACUUUCUCCUCGUGCGAUUAAACAUAUGCGACAAACCUUAACAAUUAAUAUUCUUAGAUCAUUAUCACAACAACAAUUUCACCCUAUUAGUUGGAAUCCAUGACAAUCUUCAUUAACUAAUCAAUUUGCCAAAAAUACUUAUGGCUAGCUUUAAAUAUGUUUUAUUUUCUGAAUUUCUUUCAUUUCAAUUUCUUCAUGGUUCCACCCCAUUUAUAUCCACACAACCAACAAGUUAGCUUUUUAUUCAAUCAACAUGUUCAUAUAGCAAUGUUAUAUAGCAAUAUUCCUUACUAUUCUUACACAAUAAUCAUUCUUCCCCUCAUAUGAAGAAUACACAAUUAAUCUAUCAUAAUACUAAUAACAAAAACAUAUUUUACCAUUACAUCUUCCAUAAAACCUACACCCACACAAUCUAAUUUCAUCAAAACUUGUAUUUAAUCAAGCUUACUACAUUUUGCCAAAACUAGCAAUAGAUUCAAAAGGCAAUAAGUCAUCAACCUCUGAUUAUUAUGUUAAAUCAGACUACAUAUCAUAUAGUUUUGCAUCAUAUAUCUCAAAAUCAUAAUGAUCCAACGGUUAGAUCUCCCUAGAUCUUAAUAAAACCGAGCUUACCUUAAAAUGGACAAGCUACUGUUCAACAUGCACAAAACCUUGCCAAAUAAUGAGUUUCGAUCUCCACCGUCCAAAAUGAAGAAAACAUCUAGACGCACCACAUAUCCAAGAAUGAGCAUGAUCCAACGGUGGAAGAGAGAUAAAACGGCUAGCGACCAAACUGCCCUGCAGGUGUAUUUCCUUUUUGUUUUCCAGAAAAUUUCCGAUGGUAAUUUCUAUCCAACGGAUUGUGUUCCUUCCAAUCCCUCCAGGUAGUUAGUAGUGGAGUGUGAUAAGAAUAACAUAUCCAAAACGUAGCAUGAUCCAAUGGUGGAUUCCAGAGAUAUUGCCACCGGAUCACUAUUGGUUUUUCUCUAAAAUCUGCAGUUCUCUCUCUAUCUGAUUUUCUCUAUUUUUUUUCUUUCUUUUUUCUUUCCUUUUUCUUUUUUUUAACUUGUGGCCUCUUUGCAGUUUUAUAGGCACCUUUUUCCAUAAUUAUAAUUUUGUCCCUCAUUCAUGCCUUUAUAUAUUUUAUUUUAUUUUUCAUGUAAACUAUCCGGUUUAUUUAUGCUUAAAUCGCUAGUCUUUACCAAACUCCGAUUGGGAUGAGAUAUUUAACCAAGGUAGGAAAACAUAUUAAUAGACUUCAUGCAAAAUUUCAUCCCAAUUUCAUGUAAAAUUGGUCAGUUCAUGACCUUUUCAUCAACGAUCCAAAUUUUCUUGUUCAAUCUUCACAUAAAAUCAUAUCAAUUUUCCUUCUAAACCUUUAAGUCAAUUUAUUAUUUUUGAAUAUAUAUUCAUUUUAGAAUUUCCACCUUUAUUUAUUUAUCGGGCUUAUUACCAUUUCAAAAUAACAUCACUGAUUUUUAAUCGGUGCUUGCACCUUCAGUCCUACCCUUUUUAUUGCACUAUCCUUUAUUAUAAUGUAUUCUUUAUUACCUCACUUAUUUCUUAGAAACAUUUUGUUAUUUUUUUCUCAUUAUUUUAUCCAUCAAAACAUGUUACCAGUUUCUCUGUCCUUGUGAAUUCUAAACCAAAAUUCAUUUUAUAGAGGUCAUCUCUUCCAUUUUAUAUCAUUAUUUAUCUAUUAUUUCUAAUCUUGGUUUCCAUCACUCAUUGAAAUCAUACCACUUUCAAUCUCACAUUUACAUGAGGUUUUACACAUCGACAUAUUUAAAUUAUAAAUUUCCAGGGUCUCACAGUAACAGAGGUCGUUCUCACGAAAAUUGGCACCCCAACAGCAGCCGGUAUAACAGCUAGCACAUGUCUAAUUUUCAUGGUUUUCACUCAUCUGCUCCCGUAGAUUGGAAGCAAGGUAACUGGUAGCAAACCAGACGACCUGCUAGUUCUGGGAAGUGGCCUCCUCACUGACCUUUUGAGCAGAACAUCAAGUGUCAGAUGUGCUUCUCCUUUGGACAUACCGCCCUACAAUAUGCUUAGUUUCAUAGCAAUGGCCACCAGCCCUAUGCUCCUCUUGCUGUUGGCUCUGUUUCUGCCCCUACUUGGUUCCCGGAUACUGGUGUGAACCAACAUGUUACACCUGAUCUUGCAACUCUAACCGAUUUUGCACCCUAUCUUGGUAAUGAUUACUUGCAUGUUGGUGACGGUAAGGGUCAUUCCAUAUCCCAUAUUGGACAUACCAUGUUACGUUCCCCUAAACGCACCUUUACAUUCUCCAUAUUCCUCAUAUUACCAAACUAUUGCUAUUUGUUCAAAAAAUUUAUCAUGAUAAUAAUGUUUAUUUUGAAUUUAGGUCUGGUUUAUAUGGAUGAAAAGCUAAGACAUAGGCUUAAAACUUUCAUGAAGAGUUCAAGAUUCAAAACGACCGUUUUCAAGUUCAAAUGGUUGCAACAAAAGAGAAGUCGGAAUCUGUCUUGCAGCCCAGACAAUAUUCAGUGUUCAGCCCAUAACUCGAGUUCUAGAAGUCCAAAUGAGCUCAUUCCUAUUUUGUUUGAAAGCUGAGACAAAUGCCGAGAACUUUCAUGAAGAUUAUCUGUUCAAAUUGUGACGUUAGUAAUGACGUUUUGUUCAGACAAGAAGAUAAUUGUAGUCACCAAGUCAAGAGGUGGCCACCCACUCAAUAAUUAGUCAUCAAAUCAAUAGUUCUGAAUUUUAGCCUAUAAAAGGAGGCAUUUUUCAUACAUUUAGACAUCUUGGUGUUCAGAUCAAGAUCACUCUCUCUCUUUGUAUUUUGUAAUGUUCAAGUUUUAUUUUAUGUUAUAUUAAUCUCUUGUUUAUGUUUUUCAUUUCAUUUACUAUACUUAGUUAACUUAUAUCAUGUUUAUGUUCUUAUAUUGUUUAUUUAUGUUUUUCUUCUUCAUUAUGUUUAGCUAAGUUAAUUUUGUGAAGGUGAAAAGGGUACACUAAUGGUGUAAGAAUAAGUAUACUAUAAACUCAACAUGGACUUUAAUGUUUGAUACUAGCAUGUUUUGUAUUUGUUAUCUUACUCGUUCUUAAUACCUUGCUUGUUAAAUGGUUAAUCUAGAUUUGUGUUGUACAACCCUUGGUACAACAAAUACUUGACACUUUCAUAGCCUACUGUAUGGUACAACCGACACUUGUGCUAUGAAAGGAACUUGAUUUGUUGUUAAUAUAAGUUACACCAUGAAUACUUGACCACAUAUAUAAGUAUUGACAUUACUCAAAUAAGACAAUUAAUAUAUUCAUGUUAAUAAUUUAUAAUCCGAUUGAAACCUCCUUUGUGUGUGGUUUCCAGUUGAGUAAUAAAAAGAGUUUAUACUAUAUUUAUUUGAAAUACCAUUAGUGGAUCCUCUAACCUUGACAAUUGUUUAAUCCUUGUAUAAUCCUUACAUCAAUAUCACAUCUCAAAAGUUUUCUUCAACUCCUUUUCAUUUGUUGUUUAUAAUUUUAUAUAGUUCACCUCCCUGUGAUUCAACCCCGGUCUUGCCGGGUUAUUUAUUACUUCGACACUCCUGCACUUGGGAUAAGACAUCAAUAUUUUGAUCGUGUCGAUAAUGUUGUUUUUGCAUGAAAAUAAGUUGGAAGUUGAAAAGGAUUUCUAAGGGAUGAAAAUCCUCGUUGUCCAAAAUUUUAGCUAUAAAGGAGGGGCUAUUGUGAUUGUUGAUUUUAAGCCUUAAAACAAAAUAAUUUGGAGUUGGUUUCUUCAUAAAAGUUGUAUUUCUAUGUUUUAGCCUUUCAUAUAGAUAAAUCACGCCCAAAACUAAGUUUUACAGCUUUAGUUAUGAUUAAAACACUAGAUAGUGUUCUGGAUUGGUUAAGCUAAAUUGAUCGGAAGUAGACAAUUUUUAAUCUUUACUUGGAAUUGUUGUUGAGUGAUGGUUUUGAUAACAAAAUUAUAAGAAUGAAUAUAAAUAUGAAAAUGGGUAAGAGUAUGAGAUCCUAAAGAAAUUCAUUGUGAUUGGUUUGAGAGUACUAGUUGAAAUGAAAAUUAAAUAAAGUUGUGAUGUUGGUUGUAUUGUUGAUAAAAAAUUGAAUCCCUGGUCGUACAGAGGAAGCUAUGGGGACUGGACAAUUGCAUGGAGUGGAAGCAUAUGCACAUACUCUAGGUGGGUGCAUCACACCUUGUCUUUUUAAUUUGUGUAAACUUAUUGUUAAAUUUUACAAUUUAUUGUUUUAUUGCUUCGAUAAUAUUGGAAUGAAUAUAAGUACCUUGCGUGCUUUGAUGUGUAUCGACUAGUUAUGAUAUAAUUGAAAUGGAUAUGAGUAUUUUACAUACAUUAAUAUGUAUCAAACUUGUUAUGAUAUUGUUGGAAUGAAUAAGAGUACCAUGCAUGCAACAAUAUACCUCCAUUAGUUAGGAUGAUGUUUGAACGAAUAUGAGUAUCUUGUGUGCAUUGUUAUGUAUCGAAUUAAUUUUGUUAUUAUUAGGAUAAAUACAAUUACCUUACAUUGAUAGACAACGAAUUUGUCAUGAUAACCUUGGAAUAGAUGUAAUUAUCUUACAUACCUCAGUAUGGAUUGGGUAUACACAAUGACUUAGAGAUUAGGGGAGAAAUGAUAGAUAAUUGGUCACCAUAGUGUCGGUGGCUAAGGAUAUAUUCCAAUGAUACUUGACACUGCGAUGAGGGUGACCAAGGUUAUGUGAAUGAUGCUUAGUGGUCGUAGUGUUGAUAACUAAGUUUGUGUGUGAAUGAUACUUAGCAACCGUGUUUACAACGCAUAUGAUAGUAAAUAAAAAUAAAAAAGAAGUAAGGGGAUCGGUACGAAUGGAAAAAUCAGGUGACAUUGAUUAGCUAUCCAGGUUUGGAUAGCUAAUGGUAUCAAUGAGGUUUCAUUGGUACUAGCAUUUCAGACGAUAUUGAUUAGCUAUUCGGGUUUGGAUAGCUAAUGGUAUCAAUGAGGUUUCAUUGGUACCGACAUUUCAGAUGAUAUUGAUUAGCUAUCCGACUUUGGAUUGCUAAUGGUAUCAAUGAGGUUUCAUCGGUGCCGACAUUUCUUAAAUUGAUUAGUCGAUCCCGAGCAAUUGGGUGACUAAUGAUGUUAGUAAAGAUUACUAACAUCGGCAUGGUUACUCCUGGUUCUGUGAAAAAGAUAAGUUGAUUAAUUAUUCUGGGUUGAGAAUAGUUAAUGAUAUCAAUAGGUCACAUUGGUAUCGACAACCAUUUCUGGUGUGAUUAGCUACUCAAGGUAAGGAGGCUAAUGAUGUCAAGGGUCCCUAACAUCGACAACUUAGAUGGUAAACCAGAUACGAAUAAGAUUUGAUUAACUAUUCCGGGGAAGGAAUAGUUGAUGAUACUAAUCGGCACGUGAAUGUAAUUGACUAGUCUAGCCCAAUAUUAGAAGACUAAUGAUACUAAUGAGAUUUAUUAGUGUCGGCGAUUACCUUCUAGAAAAUGAAAGGAAAAAUGUUGAUUAGUUAUUCCAAAAGAAUGAGAUAAGCUAAUGAUAUCAAGAGAGAAAUAUCUUGGUAUAAAGUGAGAAUUAAUUUAUAAGGAGAUGGUGUUCGAAAAUCAUUGAGUUAUGUUGAGAUUUCCAAGAUGAAAUUAUUCUCAACAAAUGGGAAAUGAUAUUAAAUGGAUAUUGGUAAUAGAUAGAAAAUGCAUGUUGUAAAAGAGGUUUAUACCUAAUUUUAUGUAUCAAAAGAAAUUCUAUGGAGAUUAUUACCUAUCAUUGUUAUUGUUUGUUACUACCUUUUUAUAUUUUUGUGUACAUGUUAAUUUCUAUUUUCAGGUCCAUUAGGGUCGCGUCCAGAAUGAUAUUGGUUUAGUUACCUUUUUCUUUUGACCAUGUAAUUAUUUGUAAAUUAAGAGUCUUAUAUCCUAAAACUUGAAAUGUAAUAUUAAUUUGUAAAUUUGAAUGUAUGACUUUAAUCUAAUGUUUGUAACUCUAAGUACUUAUUUAACCAUGCAUGUUUAUAGUUGAAAUCGAAUCUUUCACUUGAAUUACAUUAGAUGAUGUUAUUGAAUAAGAUGUGUUGUGUUGAUGAUGAUUAGUUGGGUUGAGAUCCAGGACAAUUGGAUUGAGAUGUUAAUUAAAAUUGAAAGUGUAAUGUGAUUUUAUCGAUAACUUAGGACCUCCCAGUAUAGGGGAGACUCUGCCAAAAUUUUGGAGAAAUUUUGGUUGAACUUGUAUAUAAAAAAAAGAAAUUACCUGAAAAUUUUGAAUGUAUCGCGAAAAAGGAUGUAGAAAAUUGGGUUUGUUAUAGAAAAGGCCAUUGAAGUUUUCUACCAAGACUCAAACUUUUGAGAAAAGGAAGACUCCAUGAAGAAAAGGGGGACAUGUAUUUCUCAAGUAAGUAUACAUGCAUAUUGAUCAUAAUGCAUUGCUUUCAACAUUGACAGAUCGGUGUUUCACCAUCAACUUUUAGGUAGUGCGUUUUCUAACCCUAUCUCUUUUUAAGUGCGCUUUAGAGCCCUCAUCUCCUGUGUAGUGCGUUUUCUAACCCUAUCUCCUUUCGAGUGCGCCUUUGAGCCCUCACCUCCUUUUGAGUGUGCUUUUGAGCCCUCAUCUCUCGGGUAGUGCAUUUUCUAACCCUACCUCAUUUCGAGUGCGCCUUUAAGCCUUCACUUCUUUUCAAGUGCGCGUUUGAGUCCUCACUUCUUUCAAAAGUGCGUUUGAGCCCUCACCUUCAGGUAGUGCGUUUUCUAACCCUACCUCCUUUCGAAUGCGCCUUUGAGCUCUCGUAUCCCUUUGAGCCCUAUCUUGUCAUCUCUUCAAGACUCUUCAAAACAUCUUCCACUUGGGUAGGUCACCCAUUACAAUGAGACCAUCCUUUUUUCUGGGUAGAUCACCCAUUACGAUGAGACCACUCUUUUCUUUUCUCACUUGGGUAGGUCACCCAUUACAAUGAGACCAUCCUUUUUUGUGGGUAGGUCACCCAUUACAAUGAGACCAUUCUCCAUGUUUUUUUACGUGGGUAGGUCACUCAUUACAAUGAGACCACUCUUCCCUUUUCCCACUUGGGUAGGUCAACCAUUACAAUGAGACCAUUCUCCAUGUUUUUUUACCUGGGUAGGUCACCUAUUACAAUGAGACUAUUCUUCCACCUGGGUAGGUCACUCAUUACAAUGAGCCCAUUCUUCAACCUGGGUAGGUCACCCAUUAUAAUGAGACCAUGCUUCCACCUGGGUAGGUCACCCAUUACAAUGAGACCACUCUCCCCUUUUUUUUCACUUGGGUAGGUCACCCAUUAUAAUGAGACCACAUUACAAUUUUUUUUUCCAUCAGGGUAGGUCACCCAUUACAAUGAGACCACAUACAAAAUUCAAGUUAAAGGGAAUCCGAGAUGCGAUUUCAGUUUAACCCAACCAAAGACAGAAUUUAGAGGAUCGCCAUUAUCGGGAUCUCAAGAUAACCAAGUUAUAUAUAGCUUUGAUCGUUAGUGUUCGGUUGAAGGAGAUUGCUAUGAAGACAGGGUUUAAGAUCAACCAAGCUUUGAAGAGAUCAAUUUUGGAAUAUUUAAUUUUGUUUUAUCUUUACAAAACUUACUGUCAUAAUCCAUUUUUGGGUUAUUCCCCAAUUCACAUUUUUUUUCUCUCUUCAAAAAAAUAAAACACAAAAAAAAAUCAAAAAUAGUGUCAAAAAAAUAUAAUAGUGAAAAGAGGAUGCCAGAACGCUCAGAAAAUGGUUAAAAAUUGGUUGAGGAGGUUCAAAAAUACAAAGAUUGAAAUUUGACGGUAUUUUAUUGACUGAUGAGAGCCCUGUUGACAAAGAAAAUUCAAUUUGAGGAAGAAAAGUCCACAAUCAGAUGUUUAUGGACUCAAUUUAAUUUUAUUGAAGGUUUAAUUGAAUUUAUGAAGGGUUUGAUUGUAAGAAAAAUUGAUUUUGGAGUUAAUUUGGGCUUUAACUGGAAGAAAUUAAAGUUCUAGGUCAAAUUAUAAUUUUUGAGAGUUAAUUUGGUCAAAUCAGGGGCUUAAUUGCAUAAAUAUUGAAGUUUGAUUGCCAAUUAGGGACUUAAUUGAAGAAAUCCGAAACCAAGAACCAAAAUGAAAAACGCGCGUAAAUAGAGGGGCUGCAAUUAAACCGAAUCAGGGGUGAAAUUGAAGAAAUUAAAAGUUUAUUGAUCAAUUGAGGGUCAAAUUACAUAAAUUAAAGACCAGGGACCAAAGUGAAAACGGCGGCCAACUUCAGGGCCAGUGUUUGAUUUUUAGCAGGGAUGCAAUUGCAUUGAUUUUUAAAUCAAAAUUGCAAUUUAGGACUUGAUUGAACAAAUUACAAAUUGAAGAAUGAUUUGGACUUUGACAUAAGUUUUUGUCGCCUUUUCCUUUUAAAUGACACGACGCGUUUUGUCCAAAACGGCGCCGUUUAAUUCACUCUUCAUAAAAAAAACCCGAAACGGUGUUGUUUUGAACAGUACUCCAGACUUUCUUCUUCCCUUAGACGUGAAGAGAAACAGGGGAAGGAAGUUGCGUUCCCCUGUAUUUUCACCGCCUUUCUUCCUCCUUUUAGUUCAAAAGGACGCCGACCAAGGACCCCCCACUUACCCAAAAUUUUCCACGUGUUGGGGGGGCGGUGGAGGGGCGGCAGCACAGUGGCCGCCCUGUCCUCUUUCUCCCUUGUUUUUUUGCCUAUAAAAACAAGAGAAGAGAGAGCAAAAUGGAGGGACAACGAGAAAGAGAGGAGAGGAGAAGAGAGAGAGCAGAAUAGAGGGGGACUACCGAAAGAAAAAAAGAAAAAAGAAAAAGAAGCAGAGAAGAGAACAAAAAACAGAGAGAGAGAGAGAAGAAGAAAAAACAGAGCCAACGCCGACCAUCAUGAACCGCCAGCGUAGCUGCCUAUAGCCUCCAACAGCUCCGCCAACGAUAGCAGCCACCGUAGGUCAGCCCUUCUCCCUUUCUUUUUUCUCCUGCUUCAUCCCUGACACGCCUCCACUAUUCACGUAGCAUGUGAACAGUGGAGGACACUGUUCACACAGGCUAGGCUGAUCCCUUGUUUUCUAAUCCUACAUGGUUUUGUCAAAUUAUGGGUGCUCUUCAAUAUCUCACAUUUACGAGACCAUAUAUCUGCUUUGUUGUUAACAGAGCCUGUUAGUUUAUGCAUGCUCCUACAGAUUUUUAUAGGGGUGCCGUUAAACAAAUUUUGCGUUAUCUACGGGGUACGACCACCUAUGGCUUACAUAUCACUCAUAAUUCCUCCUUUGCUCUAUAUGGCUUUACAUAUGCAGAUUAAGUAAGUAGUAUUGAUUAUCGCAAAUCUACGAGUGGUUAUCUUGUCUUCUUUGGUCAGACGUUGAUUUCAUGGAAAUCAAGCAAGCAACGCAUAGUUGCUCGCUCCUCCACCGAGGGUGAGUAUAAAGCCUUGACAGAUGGUACUGCUGAGGCUAUCUGGCUUCAGUAUCUAUUGAGAGAUCUGCAGAUUCAUUCUACCUUUACUCCUACUAUUUUGUGUGAUAAUCUAGGCGCUACUUAUUAUCUGCAAAUCUUAUCUUUCAUGCUCGUAUUAAACAUGUUGAGGUUGACUAUCAUUUUGUACAAGACAGGGUUGCGAAGAAAGAGAUUCAAAUUCACUUUAUCUCCUCUUAUGAUCAACUUGCAUAUGUUUUUACUAAGCCGCUUCCUACUGUUCUGUUUACUGCUUUUCAAUUCAAGCUUUAGGUUGAUCCUCCACCCUCUCAUGUUGUAAUAUCUACCAUUACUAUUGUAUAUUACCCUACACAUAUAUAUAGAAAAGGUUGGCUAACCAAUAGGUUAAGCCUCCUAAUUAUUCUCAACUUGGUGGUUAGUGAAAAAAAAAAGAAAUUUCAGCUUGUUAUGACUACUGGAGACAUCGUGGGUGACUAAAGCUACUAGUAAUGAUAGGGUUGUCGCUGCCAGCAUUGAUGGUGACCAUUUGGUGAUGACAGUGAAAUGGGCGAUGGGUUUGUGUUUGAUGUUGGGAGGAGCAUCAUUUUUGGAGAAGAGAUAAGGGAUUCAAAAGAGUGAGGGAAAUAGGGGUUGGUUGGUGUCGAGGUUUAUGGUGGUUACAGAGGUUGCUAGGUUAUCGAUAGAAAGGCUGGGGGAGUGAGACUAGUUUGGGUUGGUGCUAGUCUAAAAGGAAAGAAGAAAAGGCAGUGAGUCCAAGGAAGAAGGUAAUCUUUGCUGGCUUCUAGGUUUCAGUAUAAUGGGGAUAGGUUUUUUUUUUUGUUUUUUUGGAUUGUGAGGAAGGAGUUAGGUGUAGGGGAGAAUGAAGAUGAUGAGUGUAUGGAAGAUGGAAUGGGUAGAUAUCACGUUUGUUUUUUCUUUCUUUUUUCUAGAGAGAGAAGGUUUGUUUCUACUUAUUUUUUGUUAGCCUCUUUAAAUAAUUCACUUCCUUUUUUUUUUUUGCUAAUGCUCUCUCCUUUUUUUUUGUGUAGUGUAACCAUCUAUUUAUAAGCAAAACAAGUUUGUUAUUUUAAAUCACUUGGUCUCCAAGCAAACUUGGUGACCAAGUUAACCCAAUAAUAAUCUGGUCCCUCAACUUCUUUCUUUUCACAUUUGUUCCUUUUGUUCAAUUUAUUUUUUUUUAUUUUAUUAUAUUUUGAUUUUUUUGAAAAAAAUCAAUAUCAAUGUCGACUUAAUAAGCGCGUUAACAUCUGAAUGCGUUGAAAGUAGAUUUGUUUUAUUUUAAAUUCUUUGAAAAAGACGCUGAAAAUUAUGCAAAUACUUCAAGAAUGCAUUUUUUAGUGUUUUAUUCAAAAUGGAGUAAAAAAUUGGGUAGCAACAAAUGCCCUCUCUUUACAAUACUUACAGAGAAAAGACUUGUUAAGUGCUUAGCGUAGUAAGUUUGUAAUGACAAAUGAAUUUUUCUUCCAAAACUAAUCUUCUCAAAGCUUUUAGUUUGGUUGAACUAGAACUCUAUUUUCGCAGCAAUCCCUUUCAACCAGAAAUUGUGUACAACUUGGUUAUCUUGAAAUCCUAAUCUGAUGAUUCCCUUUAUCCAAAAUCAAAAUUAUUACCAAAAGUUUGGUUAACCUGAGAUCCCAAUCUGGCAAUCCCUUUUAACUAGAAAAAAAAUCUGAAAAACAACUUGGCUAACCUAAAAUCCCAAUUUAGCGAUUCCUUUUAACCAGAACCAAAAUGUUACCUUCAACUCGGUUAACCUGAAUUCUAAUCUAGUAACCCCAUUUAACUAGACGAUUCCCUGUAACCAUAACAAAAAUGUUUUUUUCAGCUCAAUUAACCUGAAAUCUCAAUCAAGAGACCUCCUUUAACCCAAACCAAAAUGUCACCUUUAGCUUAGUUAAUCUGAAAUCUCAAUCUAUUAUUAUUAUUAUUAAUUUUCAUACACAAUUAUAUUUAUGAUUAUUAUAUGGUCAAUUUGUCUAUGUCAGAAUAGAAUCUGAGGCAACUUUUUGACCAAAAUUCCAUUCUCUAUUAUUCCUUCAAUAUUGGGGAUUAAUGCAAGCAACUCGUUUAUUCGGAUUUUGACCCAAAACUUUCUCGAUUAUUCGGAUUUCUUGUUUGGAUGAGGUGGUCAGGUUGCGUCACAUUGAUUAUGUCAUGUUACUGAAGUUAACUAGAGUAAGAAAUAAAGAUAUCAAGUAUCGAAGAGAAUCAAGAUCAGUUUAAGGAAAAAAUAAAAAAACAGAUUAUAAGGAAUCAGGUAUUAAAGAAUACAAGAUAUAUUGUUGGGAAUCUAUGAAGAUUUAACUUCCAUCAUUUUGUUGUCUUCCACAAUGAAUUUGGGUUAUCACAUGACAGACAUACUUGGAAACAUACCUAACUUGAAAGGAAUGGAUUGUUAAUGAUGAGGAUUCUUUUCACUAACAUUGUGUAUGAUAUGAAUCUCUACUACUAAAUGCAAUGAGAUGUGCUUUAACUUCCACCAUAUUUCAUUUUACUUCCUCAGCAUCCCACUGCCCUUGCCUUCUCUACAUAUUAAAAAGAUCCAUCUUCAAAUUAAGCUGAGAAGAUCCGGCAUGAGCUAAUUUUGUUGUUUUUCUUGAUUUUUCUAGAUUUCAUGUUUUAUUUUGAAUUUUUUGUUAUUUUCUAGGAUUCCAGUUUUAUUACCUAGUACGUCUAGGUUGAUCUCCUAGCCUAUCUAAAUAAAUUAUAAACCUUUAAAGAUGCAUACUAUAUUAGACUUUAUUACUUGGAGAAUAAAAACUUUGAAUUUAGGUUUUUUUUUACACUUUUUGAUCAAACUUUUUACGGGCUUUAUUGAAAAAACAAUAAGCAUUUUGACUUGAUUCUUGACUGGUAAAUUUUUUUGUUGUAUUUUUGGAGGUUUUGACGAAAACCGGGUAUUUUAAUACCAGAUUUGUAUUUUUUUCGAAAUGACAAACAAAAAAAAAAGACCGAGAUUAAACAAAACAGCGUAAAACAAUACACGCGGGGAAAUGGCAAAAUUAUAAACAUAUAUUUUUUUGCUGGGUCGGGCCCUGCCCACCAUUGUUGGGCUGUACCGGACUCAGCCCAAGAUCAAUGAGCCCAGCCCACAUCAGCUGGUUACGGUGCAUGAGCACAGUAACCAGCUUCACCUCGCCUGCAGAGACGUGCACCGCGCACGUCCUGCAUGUCGAGGGAAGAAACGAAAGCAAGAGGGGUGGAGGGUUUACCUGGAGAAGCCUUAGUCGUCAGUGAUGGCCAGAGGUGGCGGUGGUUCCAGGUAGCGGCGGUGUUGGUGGCAGCUCCUCCUCUGUUUUGUUCUUCUUCCUUUUUCUUUGUUUUUCUUCUCGUUUUUAUUUCUUCUCUCUUCCUCUCUCUGUUUUUUUUUUCUUUCUUACUCCUCUUCCUCUCUUCUGCUCUCUCUCUUCUCUUUCUGCUCUGCACUUUUUUUCUUCUUCUCCCCCUUGUCUCUUUGUCUCCCCUGUAUUUAUAGGAAAACAGGGGAGAGACAUGGCUGGGGCGGCCACUGUGUUGCCGCCCCAUGAUCGCUUGAGGAGGCACAUCUCCUCCGUUUCUCCAACACCCGGGAGGCCACGGGUCAGCUGAGCAAGAUAAAGUUUUUGGUCGGCGUCUUUUUGAAGGGGAAGGCGGUGGAAAACGCAGGGGAACAAAAGUUCCCUUCCCCUAUUUUCUGCACGUCCAAGGGAAGAAGAAGACGUAUGGUGUCGUUCAAAACAACACCAUUUUGGGUCUUUUUUUUUAAUGAACAAUGUAUGAAAUGGCGUCGUUUAGGACAAAACACGCCGUUUCAUUUAAAAGGAAAAGGCGGCAAAAACGUGUCAGAGUUCACAUUGGUCCUUAAUUUGUAAUUUGUUCAAUCAAGUCCUCAAUUACAUCCCUGCCAAAAAUCAUACAGCGGCCCUGAAGUUGGCUGCCUUUUUCACUUUGGUCCUUGAUGUUGAAUUUAUUCAAUUUGACCCUCAAUUGAUCAAUAAACUUCUAAUUUCUUCAAUUUCGCCCCUGAUUUGGUUUAAUUGCAGCCCCUCUAUUUACGCGCGUUUUUCAUUUUGGUCCUUGGUUUCGGAUUUCUUCAAUUAAGUCCCUAAUUGGCCAUCAAACUUCAAUAUUUAUGCAAUUAAGCCCCUGAUUUGACCAAAUUAACUCUCAAAAAUUAUAAUUUGACCCAGAACUUUCAUUUCUUCCAAUUAAAGCCUAGAUUAACUCCAAAAUCAAUUUUUCUUGCAAUGAAACCCUUCAUAAAUUCAAUUAAACCUUUAAUAAAAUUAAAUUAAGUCCAUAAACAUCUGAUUUUGGACGUUUCUUUCUCAAAUUGAAUUUUCUUCAUCAACAGGGCUCUCAUCGAUCAACGAUAUACUGUAAAAUUUCAAUCUUUGUAUUUUUGAACCUCCUCAACCAGUUUUUAACCAUUUUCUAAGCGUUCUGGCAUCCUCUUUUCACUGUUAUAUUUUUUUGAUAAUAUUUCUUUUUGUAUUUUUUGAAGAGAGAAAAAAUGUGAAUCGGGGAAUAACCCAAAAAUGGGUUAUGACAAGGACCAAACUGGAAAAGGCACGUGAAUAUAGGGGUUGAAAUUGACCAAAUCAGGGGCCAAAUUGAAGAAAUUGAAAGUUUGUUGAUCAAUUGAGGGUAAAAAUGCACAAAUUCAAAACCAAUGAUUAAAAUGAAAAAGGCGGCCAACUUUAUGGAUGACAUUUGAAUUUGGUAGGGAUGUAAUUGAAUUGAUUCCUAAAAUCAAAAUCUCAAUUAAGGACUUGAUUGAAUAAAUAAAAAAUUAAGGAUUGAUUUGGAAACAAGGACUUCUUAGGUGCCAUUUUCAUUUAAAUGAAACGACGUAUUUUGUACAAAAUGAUGUCGUUUCAUUCACUGUUAUUAAAAAAAAAAGAUGACAAAACUAAAAAACGAUGCCAUUUUGAUUGCACUAUACAUCUUCUUCUUCCCCUAGAUGCGCUGUAGGUAGGGGAAAAAGGUUUUUUUCCUCUCCUUUGCAGCGUCUCUAUCUCUCUCUCUAUUUCACUUGCCAAAAAACACCGACACAACCCACACCCCCUAUAGCCUACCAUCAAGAUGAAAAAACAGAGGGGACAAGCCUUGUGGGCGGCCCUAGGGUAGUUGCUUAGUAGCCACCCAACCACCCUACCCCUUUAGCAUGACUAGACAGGGGUAGGAUAGCUCUCUCUCCCCCUUCCCCUUAUAUAUACCCCCCUCACCAGGAGUAGGGGAGACGACAUAACAGAGAUGAAUAAAAGAGAAAAAAAGGAAGGAAAAAAAUGAAACAAAAGGAAAAAAAUAGAAAGAAAAAACAGGGGAAAACAAAGAGAGGAAAAGGAAGGGAAGAAAAAGAAAAACAGAGAGAAAAAAAGGAAAGAAAAGGGAGAAGAACACUCUUUGGUAUUACCUAUAAAGGAAAAGGAACUUCCCAGUUCCCUUUAAAUCUUUCUCCACCGACCAGCGAAACAGCUCCCCCAAUGCAUAGCCACCUCGGUUUGAAGAAGAACCAGCAGCUCCAGCUCCAGCUCCAGUAGGGAUGAACGCUGUCGCGCGCCACGGCUCAAUCGAAUGUAUUUAUUUAUAUAUUAUAAUAAUAAUAUAUACUACUAUAUAUGAAAUAAAAAAACAAGAAAUUCUAAAAAAAAACCUUUUGAAUUUUUUUGAUUUUCUCGUGUAUUUUUCUACCAAUUUUACUUAAUAUUGGUUUGUAUUUUUACACGGUAAAGAUACAAAUUCAGUAUUAAAAUACUUGAUUUUCUCUGAAAUGUUGCAAAAAAAAUAUAGAGAACAAAAAAAUAUAUCUUGUUUUCAUGCAUACGACCAUGUGUCUAAAAAAUGUAAAAAAUUCAUAUCAUAUUUUCAUACAAAAAUUUCAAGAAAAAGGUAUGUGUUAGCAUGCAUUUUGAACUUUAAUAACCAAUUUAUUAAAGCGAUGAGAACUAGGCCCAUAUUUCAAAAAUACCAAAAAACUAUUUUGUUUUCUUUUAGUAUAUGAGAUUAUUUUGUUUUCUUUUAGUUCUUUUUUUAUAUAAACAUUAGAACGAUUAGGUUUUUACCUGAUAUGAUGAGGAUAUCUUUAUCGAUGAGGACUUUUCUUAAACCUUAGACAAACCAACAAUUAGAAAACACAACAAUACUUUAGUUAUAUCAGACAAUUAAACAAUAUAGCUUACCUCAGGUAAGGCAUUUUAGGGGUGUUAAUACCUUCCCUUUACGCAACCAGACCAGUUAGGGUUCGUAAUGACCAAAAUACUAGGUGACGACUGUCAUUCUCUCUUUCCACUAAUAAAGGACAAGAUUGUCCUGUCCAUUUCCCCAUCCCAUUCUCAACUCCUGGAGGACGAUUGCUGCGACACCGCACCACGUGCGACAGUAGUUUUGAAAGAUUAAUGCAAGCGGAAGAACCACAAUAUAGCUGCAAGCAUAGAAAGACAGAAAGAUAGACUGGAAUUUGUUGCGAUGUCGCAGUCGCACAAAUUAAUUACCCUAGCUUAAAACACAACACACAAGAUAGUAUAGAGCAAGCAAGGGGUCAAUCCCACGUGGAAGGUUCAAGUCAGAUUUUUAUGCUAGAUGAUAUGCAAUUUAAGGGGGUUUGGACGUUAUCUAGGCUAAAGGAAAAGAAAACAGAAAACUAUCAAGCAAAAUUAAAUAAAAUCAGAAAAUUAUCAAGAGAACAAACCUUGGUUGCAUGUAAACAUCCACCUAUGGAAAUCAGAAUUGAUCAUGGAAACGAAACAUCAAUUUAUAUUCUGAAUAUUUAUCUCUUCUUAACAUUGGUUAGUUAACGGAUCCACCGUAUAACUAACCCUAACCAUCAAACAACCAUAGUGUCCACACUAGUAAUUUAAUUCAAUGGCAGACUUAAGAACUAGAUAAGUUGAUUAAUCAAGAAAACAUAUAUAAAUGUUCGCAGUCUAUGUUUGAUUUGAUUGAAUGUUCUCCCUAAGAUUAAUAACGUAGAUCUGCCACAAUUAUUAAACUCAGUUGCUUCAGAAGUUCAUAUACCACAACUCCGGUUUUGAUAUCAAACUUAGCAAUAGAUUGUCUACAAUAAUAACUUAGAGUUCGCUCUAGCAAUUAAAAUAAACAAUCAUAGGAAAAAUAAGCAUAGGAGAACAAACAUAUUCAUCAUAUAAACUGAAAAGAAAAGGUAAAAUAAAUCUCACAAUUCUUGAAAUCCGAAGGUUUUCGUGUCCUUGCAACUAAGAAAACUAGUUUAGCCUUGCAUGUUUGUUGAACAACUAAUAAAAAAAAGGACGGAUGCAUGAUUUCAGGUUUCUUAGAGGAAGGCGGUGUUUUUCUCUUCUUCGCUGGCUGCCCCCCUACUCUUCUCUCAUUCUUUUUAUACCCUAGGAAACCCUAGUCUUUAUUUUACAAAAUAGUCCUCCUUUAAGUAGACAGUUUACAUUUAAGUACUUCAAUAACUAUUUUCCUAAAAAAAGGAGAAAUAGCCUUGCAUGAAAUCUUCAAGCUUUGACUUAGAGGAGAUAAAUUGCUGAAAUAAAAACUUGGAUGUCGGUUUAGAUGCUUUGGAACAUAAUUUGGACUCGUUUCUUCACGAAACCUAUUUGCUGGCAGAAUUCAGUUGUCAUCUUUGAAAAAUCAUAUCUCCCUAAUAUGACAUCGUUUUCUGCUACAAUUUGGUGCGUUGAUACGUCUUUUAGUCAGAAAUCGAAAAAAAUUGAGUUUGCAUCAAUUUGGACUUCUGUAGCUCCAGAUAUUCAAGUUCGAAUGGAUAAAGGUCAACAUUGGCAAAUUGCGAGAUUUGACUUUGAAGGCUGUGAUUUCCAUGCUCUUCCUUAUUUUAUUUUCUUGCCUUAUAGGUCCAGAAAGAUAUGGAUGUUAUCUUUUUAUUGUCACUAGAAUCACUUCAUUUCGACUGCUAUAGCUCACGCACUGCACAAAACAUCGACUGAAAGUCUAAUCUGCCAAUUACCUCCAAUUUACUCCUUUUUGCAUCUUUCAUCCAAAAGUGCCUUCAAAACAUAAAACAAAGAAUAUCAAGGCAUUUUAUAUAUAAAACAUAAGCAAAACACUAGUUAAAUGUGGGUGAAACUAUCGAAUAAUAUGGUUACAUCAGAAUUAUGUUAACUGUGUACUUAAAGGAGGACUAUUUUAUUUAUAAAAUAUUAAUUGGAUCAAGUCUACCUCCUAAAGAGGUUUACAAUCCCUUUUAUAGAAUAGAAAAUCAACCAAGAUUGGAAACAAAAUCAGAAUCCCAAAACAUAAUAAGAAAUAACAUAAAAUAUGAAAAGAAACAAUAAAUCUAUGAAAAUUAAGGAAAAAUAACAAAAUUAUCCCAAAUAAUAACUUAUGAGCUUGAUUUUUGGAGAUCCAAUGCUCUGAUAACUACUGAGUGGUUUUUAAUGGGAAAACAACUUGUAGAAUCUCUUGUAAAAAUUUGCACCCAAUCCUACGGUUAGAUCUCUUGUUAUCGUCAUUUUAGGCCGCUACUCUCUGGUCUUGCGUGACCAUGCUUUCUAUUGAGUCUAAACAUGUGUCACUAGUUUAUGAAAAUAUAUGUUAGACCAUCUAUAUAGUCUGUUUAGGGCAAAUACAUAAUUAAUUUGCUGUUCAAAUGCUCUAAAGCUCUUCAAGGUGUGAUUUAACUAAAUAAUUUUGAGUUUAGAAUUAUCUUCUCAUUUUGGAAUUGUCCUGAGCCACAAGGAUAAAAUGAUGAGUCGUGGGGAGCUUCUUAGAUUGUUGUCCUGCAAGCAAGAGUAUAUGACUUUACUAUAUUACUAUAAAUAGCAUAUUUGCUGUUGUAACCCAUUUUUGGGUCCCCACAAAAUAUAUAUAUAAAAAAUAUAUAUCUAGCCAAAGGAGGUUAGAAAAAUAACAGGAGGUAGAAGCGUUCAGAAAAUGGUCGGAAAAUUGGUCAAUGAGGUUAAAAAUACAAAGAUUGGAUUUUUGACAGUAUAUUCUUGAAGGAGGAGAGCCCUGUUGGAAGAAGAAAAUUUAAUUUGAAGAGAAGGCCAAAAUUGGAUAUUUAUGGACUCAAUUGGAUUUUAUUGAAGGUUUAGUUGAAUUUAUAGAGGUUUUGAUUGCAAGGAAAAUUGAUUUUUAAGUCAAUUUAGGCCUUAAUUGGAAGAAAUUUAAGUUCUGGGGCCAAAAUAUAUUUGUUAGGAAUUUAUUAGGCCAAAUCAGGGGCUUAAUUGCAUAAAUAUUGAAGUUUAAGGGCCAAUUGGGGACUUAAUUGAGAAAAUCCAAAACCAGGGACCAAAUUGGAAGAGGCGCGUAAAUGGAGGGGCUGCAAUUAAUUGAUUCAGGGGCUUAAUUGAAGAAUUUGGAAGUUUAUUGAUCAAUUAAGGGUUCAAUUGCAUAAAUCAGAGACCAAGGACUAAAGUGAAACACGCGGCCAACAAGAGGGGCAGAGACCGAAAUUGGCAGGGAUGCAAUUGAAGAAAAAAAGAUAAUUGAGGGCUGCCUUGCAAAUUGACGCGUUUUGGCGUUUUGCAGGACUUAAAUGAAACGGCGCGUUUUGCCUAAAACGACGCCGUUUCAUGUGAAAAAAAAAAAAAAAAAGACCGGAACGGUGUCGUUUUGAACGACACUGUUCAUCUUUCUUCCUCCCCUGGACGUGCAGCAGGGGAAGAAAGAAAAAUGGUGGGUUUUUUUUUUCUUCAAGUGUGCUGCCUCUCUCUUGACCGCAUGCCUUGCCAGAAAACCGAGGGAGCCGCACCUCGCCAGCCACGCCCGCUGGCCGACCACCCGCCGCGCGCCUACCCGAAAAACAGGGAGCGGAACCUCGACAGCUGCACCCAAAUGGCCGACCAACCGCCGCAGCCCUUGUUCCCCAUGUGCAACCAUAAAAAGCCCCGCCCCUUGGCUCUAUAAAUAGAGGGAAGAACACUGAAGGAGAGAAGAGAAAACAGAGGAGAGAGGGGGGAAAGAGACCCGAAAGAGAGAGAACCGAAGAGAGAAAGGAAAAGCUAAAAAGAAAGGAGAAAAAACCAAAGAGAGGAGGGAACGAAUCGAAAAGGAGAGGACCCGAAAUAUAAGAGGGGAAAGCUAGAAACGGAGGGAAAAACUUGAAAAAAACAGUAACACUGCCGUUCGGUUGAGACAGCAGCACCACUGCCGCCGUUCGUGAGCCACCGGCCUCCGCCACAGCACCGCCUCCGGCAGCAACAGUACCACCAGCUCCACCGCCUCCUCCGCGCCAGGUAAUUCUUCUUCCUCCCUUCAUUACUGCAUUUUUUUUUCGUUCCUGCAUGCAGAACGAAUAACGUUCUGCAUGCAGAAGGGUGGGGGGAAAAUAAUUCCCCCCGCCAGCGUUUGUUGCUGGGCCAGGCUGGUCCUGGCCCAGCCCAGUCUUCUGGGCCGGGUCUGGCCCAGAAGAGGAUAAUAGUAUUUGGGCCGAAAUCGGCCCAAUCCAUUUUUUGGGCCGAGAUCGGCCCAACACUUUUGGGGCUGAGUCCGGCCCAGUUGUUUGGGCCGGCCCAGCCCGAUUUAAUAUUAUAUAUUAUAUAUAUUAUAUUUUGUAUUACUUAUAUAUAUAUGUGAAAAAUUACAAAAAUUACACAAAAAAAUUAUUUAAAAAAUAUGUGAUUUUGUUGUAAUUUUAUUACAGUAUUUUGAUUAAUAUUGGUUGGUAUUUUUAUACUCUAAAGAUACAAAAUCCAGUUUUAAAAUACCCGGUUUUCAUCAAAACAUCAAAGAUUUUCAAAAUAAAAAAUGUCUUUUGCUUUCAAAAAAUUUCUAAAAAUAUCUUUAAAAAUAUUGUUGAUUUUUCUGCAUUUGUUUUAUCAAAGUGGAUUAAUAUUUGGUUGUAUUUUUAUACUGUAAGAAUACAAACCCAGUAUUAAAAUACCCGGUUUUCGUCAAGACAUAAAAAAUAAAAUAAGUUAAAAAUGUUUUGUUUUCGUGCAUACGGCCUAGUCUCUCUAACAUAUAUAUAUAAAUAUUAUAACAUCAUAUUUUCACACAACAAAAGAAAUUUCAAAAAAAAAAUAUAUGUAUUAGCAUGCAUUUUGGCUUUAAUAACCAGUUUAUUCGAGCCAUGAGAACUAGGCCAAUAUUUCAAAAAUUCUAAAAAAAUCUUUUUGUCCUCUUUUAGUACAUGGGAUUACAAAUUUAAACAUAAAAUGUUUUCCUGAUAUUAAAAAUAUAGUUUUUUCACAUAGACGUUAGAACGGUUAGGUUUUACCCGAUAAGAUAAGGACCUCCUUAUUGAGGAGGACUUUUCUUGAACCAUAGACGGACCAACAUACAUAGAUGUUAGAACGGUUAGGUUUUACCCGAUAAGAUAAGGACCUCCUUAUUGAGGAGGACUUUUCUUGAACCAUAGACGGACCAACAUACAUAGAUGUUAGAACAGUUAGGUUUUACCUGAUAAGAUAAGGACCUCCUUAUUGAGGAGGACUUUUCUUGAACCAUAGACGGACCAACAACUAGGAAACACAACGAGACCUUGAAUUUUAUCAGACAAAUAAACAAUGCAGCUUACCUUAGGUAGGGCGUAUUUGGGGUGCUAAUACCUUCCCUUUACGCAACCAGUCCCCGUGCCCAAUCUCUGAGACCAGUUAGGGUUCCUAGUGACCAAAAUACUAGGUGGCGACUCCCACACCAUUUUUCACUGCUAAGAGACAAAGAACUCCUUGUCUCACCAUAUUGACCAGAUAUAUAUCCCCCCACCAUACACAUUCGAGGGUGGACGAUCGCCGCGACGUCGCGCACGUGCGACAGAAUGGCGACUCCACUGGGGACCUUGUGGACUAAGCUUUGUUUUUGUCUGAUUUGUUUUUGUUUUUGUGUGUUUAUUGUUAAUAUGCCUUUCCUUUUGUUAUCUGCUUAUAUGCUUUAAAUAUUUUUACACAUAUUGUUCAUGCAUUUGUAUAGAACUGUCUCAUACAUCUUAUAGAACUGUCUCAUGCAUCACAUACUUUGAUUAUUGAGAGCACACGCAAACUUUAAGUUAAGUGGGGGACUAGCAGCUUACCUUACGACUGUUAGUCAAGGUUUAAGUUUGUGUAAACCCCAACUCUUCGCUGAGUGCUUAGACUGGCAAUAGUUGGUACAUGUGCCAUCUUAUUGCCUACAAGCCCCCAUAUUGCCUCCACGAGGGCAAUCACUGGGACAGCAAGAGACCUUUUUUAGAGACUGAAUAGCCAACCUACCCUCGUCAAGCACGAAAGAUUUAGAACCGGCUAUAGGGUGUAUGUUCCAUAAAGUACAUUUUGCAUAAAACAACCUAAACCAUAAAGUAUUUGGUUUUCAGGUCUUUUGAAACGAUAAGAUGGCCAUCAUUACCAAAUUUACUACUAUGGAAUAUGGGCAGAAUUCUGAAUUGUCAGAGGGAGACUGCUCUAGAUAUGAUGCGAGGAAGCUUCCAGUAGUCAAAGACCUGAAUUGCACAGUAUAUGAGAUGAAGAAAAUAUUGGGCCAUAAUCAGAACAUUGAUGAAGCGGCAUUUUGCGGGAAGUAUGGGCGAUUGUUGGAAAUUGCAAAGAUAGAAGUAUUGAACCCGGCAAUCAAAGCUUUGAUUAACUUUUGGGAUCCCGAUUACAGAUGCUUUUCCUUUGGAAAUGUGGAUUUGUGUCCCACUAUAGAGGAGUAUGGAAUGUUGACGGAAUUUCCCAAACUCCUACACAGGGUUUAUUUUCCUUUGAGAAAUGACAAGGUGAUUCCUGAGUUGUCAACAUUGUUGAAGAUUCCACAUCUGAGCAGAUUUUUAGAGAAGAAUGGUAGCGGUUUAAAGUGGAAAUUUCUGGAGGUUGAACUAGAAAAGAAAAAAGAGCAAUACGGGUCAAUGUUAGAAAGAGACAGGUUAAUCGCUCUGGGGAUCUAUGGGCUCGUAUUAUUUCCAAGCUUAAUAGGGAUUAUAAGCCUAGAAGCUGCUGCUGCAUUCGUGGAAUAUGAAAAUACUCAUGUCAACCCCACAACUGCCAUAUUAGCUGAGACCUUUCUGACCCUCAAUCAUUUUAGAAAGACGGGGAAAGGCGCAGUGCGAUGUUGUACUCAGUUGUUAUAUAUCUGGAUGGUAAGCCAUGUUGAAACCAAGAAGCCGAUCUUUAAUAAUUUUUGGUGGUUUAACCAAAAACCCUUGAAGAUAAUGGAGGAAGAAGAAUGGGGAAUCCUAGGUGAUCAAGGUUGGAUGAAAAAACUGCAAGAAUUACCUAGUAGCAACUUUAGUUGGAAGGCCCCUUGGGUUAAAUCAGUUGAUGUCAUAGUAAGUUGUGGACAAAAAUGCUGGGUACCUUUAAUUGGGAUCACAGGUUAUGUCAGCUAUGCUCCGGCUCUGGUGAUAAGACAAUUAGGUGGCAUACAACACAUCCCAAGAACUGUGGGACUUGCUGAAUUUUCCGGAUUUUUCAAGGAUCAAUCCGCGCGAGAAGUUCUUGAAACCAUCAAACAAGAUUGGAGCCAGUUGACUCUAAUUCAAAAGGAGUCGGAAAGAUUGAGAGACCCUAGCUCAAGUGAAGGAUAUGAAAAGUGGAGGAAUUUGACCCCGAUUGCCACUCCAAAAAAGCCAUGUCCUGAAGAUGGGCCUUCACGAAUGGAAGAAGGGUCAUUGAAAAGAAAAAAGGUCAGUAAUGAGGAAGACCUUAGGGAGCAAUUAGAAAGGCUCCAAAUAGAAUUGGGAAAGAGUAAGGGAGAUAAAGCAGCAUUAGAAAGGAUGAUGAUGGAAGGAGAUAAAAGCAGAGUGUUUUUAAAUGAACAGCUCGAAUCCAGAGAUGCGAAAAUAGUGAUGUUAGAGCUGCAAUUGAGCAAGGGAAAGGCUGUAAUAGAAGAGUCCGAGAAAGAAAGAGGAAGAUUGAUUUUUGAUUGUAUGCAAAGCAGUUCGGAGUUGGAAGCAUUGAAAGCCGACUUCGAUGGCUAUCGAGAGAAUGUUGAGUACAAUCAGGACAAAUUCUUGCAUGUUCAAGCAGAGUUGCUGGACCGAAUUGAGAAGUAUGAAGAGUUAAACAAGAAAUAUAUGAUGAUAGAAAGUCGGCUAGCUGAAUUGCAAGAGUUCGAAAGAAAAGGGAAGGAAGAGGAGGUUUUUAAAGCAGAUUUGGCAGCUAAGAAAAUUGAAAUUAGGACGCUGAAGUUGAAGUUUGACAAAGCACGAGAAAAGGUGAAACAGUUGACCCAAAGGUUGGAAGUUUCAGAAAAACAUAAAGAACAGAUCGACACCAACAACAAUACCUUGAAUCGGAACAACAUGUUGCUUAUAGAGAAGAUGGCCAAAGUAGAUGAGCAAAUGGAUGAAGCUGCCAUUCACGCACGGAUUAUUAGAGCCAAUGCUCGAAGGGUGGGAAGGGACAUCUUUCGUUAUCGACAAAGCUUGGCUGAGACAGAUGCCUUCUUAGAGAAGAUUGAGAAUCGAGGCCUCACUUUCCUACCAGUGGCUAGAAAUACGGAUGAAGAGGAAGAUUGAUGUAUUUUUCUUUUUAUUAUUUUGUACCCUCUUUUCAAGAGAUGUAUUAGCCAAUAUUAAUGAAAAGGGCCUUUGACCCAUCUUUUGUAAAAAAAUAUAAGCCUACCAAAGCAACAGCUUGAGCAAAACUACUCCUGAUAAGGAACGUGACAAAAGGAGUCCAUGUCCAUUACACAAGAGGAAUGUUGGCCAUCGAUCGUUUUUUUUUUGAAAAAAAAAAAAAAAAAAAAGCUCAUGCAUCCAUGCAUUGUUUCUUUAUCAUACAUUCAUUUACAUUUUUCCAUGCAUCCCAGACCGUGAAACAUAGGUCCCACAUCCAAAGUCCACAACACCCGGUCUAGAGCGAGAAUGGAGAACGAAGAGAGAGCUCACUUGGAGUCACAUUAUCAGACCGAGUUGGAGUCCGUAAAGAAUGAAGUUUCUCGGCUAACCAACUUACUUGAGCAGCUUCUAAGAGCUAAAAAUGGGGAGGGAACAUCAGCACAACAGCCUGAAGGAGCGCCAGCAGCUCACAUCCCUCAAGCAUCUCAAAACCAGGGGGCAAACUCGGCCAAUGAACAACAUUUUGUGCCUAUCACCCCUGUCCCGCCAACUCACGCUCCAAUCACUGUGGAUUUAACAACGGAGGGAGUCCCAGAAAAUAGGUCUCCCAGUGUGAUGGACCAAGACAAGCUAUUUGCUCUGGAAGAAAGAUUAAGGGUCGUUGAGGGUAAUGAUUGGUUUGACCCUAUGCGAGCAGCCGAAGUAUGUUUGGUACCAAACAUUGUGGUGCCAAAGGAUUUUCGAAUACCAGAGUUCGUUAAGUAUACCGGUUUGGAAUGCCCAAACACUCACCUGCGAUCCUAUUGUAACAAAAUGGCGGAAGUAAUCCGUGAUGAUAAGUUGCUAAUCUAUUUCUUUCAAGAUAGCCUAGCAGGAUCCGCUUUAAGCUGGUACAUGAGGUUAGACAGCAUCAGGAUCAAGAGCUGGAGAGACUUGGUGGAGGCUUUCCUCAAACAGUACAAGUUUAACAUGGAAAUCGCUCCUGAUCGAACAAGUCUAAUGGCAAUGGAGAAAAGGAGCCAGGAGUCAGUAAGGGCUUAUGCGCAAAGAUGGAGGGAUGAGGCAAUGCAUGUCCAACCCCCUUUGAUAGAAACGGAGAUGGUGAGCUUGUUUGCCAAUACCUUCAAAGCACCUUAUUAUGAGCACCUAAUGGGUAGCUCCUCUCAACAUUUUUAUGAUGCGGUACGCAUAGCUGAAAGGAUAGAACAAGGGAUUAAAGUUGGGCGAAUAGCGAUGCCAGUGGAAAAGAAGGGUUUUAUUGGAAGAAAGAGAGAAGGCGAUGUUAACAAUCUGGAAGGUGGGUACAAGGGCAAGAGAGUAGAUUUUCAUAAUCCUCAAGUACCUACCUCUCAAUUCUCACGCAUAAACUUUAACCAACCUUUUUCCCCUAAUCGAACAAAUAACCAGUCAAACUACCAAAAUCACUACCAAAGACCCCAUACAAAAUACACUUCAGAACAACUGCCACCGUUACCCAUGCCUUUGAAGGACAUGUAUGCCAAACUGUUGAGCAUUGGACAAAUAGCUCCUAUCCCUACACUACCACUACAACCACCAUUCCCAAUUUGGUACAAGCCCGAGUUGGCUUGCGAGUACCAUGGGGGUAAUCCCAGGCAUGGGAUUGAAACCUGUUACGCUUUCAAGAAGAGGCUAUUGGAGCUUAUUAAGAUGGGAUGGGUAUCCUUUGAAGACAAGCCCAAUGUUAAUUCAAACCCAUUGCCUAAGCAUGCCCCAAAUAGUAGUGGAGUAGGCAUGAUCGAAGUGGGAAAUCAAUGUAAGGUAUUGAAGGUAUCCAUGAAGAAGUUGUAUGACAUGUUGGUACAAUCAGGAUUUCUAAAGACAAAGGGGGAGAGCCGUUUGGAGGGAUAUGAUUACUGUGAAUACCAUGGAAGAGAUGGACAUCAUAUUGAGGAUUGCAUCGAGUUUUGCGAAAAGAUUGCGAAAAUGCUAAAAAUAGGGGAGUUGAGGAUUGAACCCAUGAAAAGCAGCGGUGAGGUGAGUAUGAUGGAAGGUCAAGAUGAGAUGACAGGAGUAUGUAGGAUCCAACAAACAGCUAAGGGGCCACCAAGGCUAAUCUUGGUCAAACCUUCUUGCACAAAAGGAAACCACAAUGCCAUGCAUUACAAUUACGACUAUACCUCCAACGUUCAAACUCCACUUCCCUUGUUCCAAACCGAGAUUAGUGGUUUGACUCGGAGUGGUCGUUGCUUUACGCCCGAGGAGUUGAGAAAGGCAAAGGGCAAAGAAGUGGUAGAUCUUGACAAAGCACUAGAAGUUAAUAAGCCAGUAACAGAAGAGGAGUCGAAUGAAUUCCUGAAGUUGAUCAAGCAUAGUGAAUAUUGCAUAGUAGAUCAACUAAAGAAGACUCCAGCUAGGAUCUCCCUUAUGUCCCUGAUACUCAGCUCUGAGCCACAUCGAAACGCCUUGCAGAAGGUAUUGAAUGAGGCAUAUGUACCCCAAGACAUUGAACAUAAAACCAUGGAGCAUCUAGUGGGAAGGAUCCAUGCAACUAAUUACCUGUACUUCACGGCUGAUGAGCUUGAUGCUGAAGGUACCGGACAUAACAAGCCCUUAUACAUUACGGUUAGGUGCAAGGACUGCCUCAUAGGAAAAGUACUCAUUGAUAACGGCUCGGCCCUUAACGUGUUGCCAAAGCACAUGCUGGAAGAAAUGCCGAUCGAUGAAUCCCAUAUAAAGCCAAGUACUAUGAUGGCCAGAGCGUAUGAUGGCUCGCCUAGGCCAAUAAUUGGGACUUUAGAAGUGGAGCUAUGUGUGGGACCACAAAUGUUCUUAGUAACACUUCAGGUUAUGGAUAUCCACCCUUCCUAUAGUCUGUUGUUAGGAAGACCUUGGAUUCAUGCAGCGGGGGCAGUAGCUUCGUCAUUGCAUCAAUGCCUGAAGUAUAUCAUGAAUGGGAUGUUGGUAACUGUCAAGGCUGAGGAGACAGUAUCCAUGAUAAAGAAUGUGGUUGUGCCUUUUAUCGAAGCGAAUGAUUGCAAGGAUAACAAUAUCCAUACCUUUGAGAUUGUGAACACUGACUGGGUGCCGGAGAACACAGUGCUAAGAAGGCCAAGGAUCUCAGAAGCAGCAAGGAUGGCAAGUCUAUGCUUCUUGAACCGCGGGAUCCCAUUUCAGUAUAACCUUAUUAUCGGGAUACCAGAAGGGGUUAAUCUGGCAAGGAUGAAAAGUGCUGCUCAAAGAUUUGGGUUAGGGUACCAACCUAACCAAAAGGAUUAUCGGUGGGCUGCUGGUCGGAGAAGGGCAAGAAGGAUGGCUAGAAUUAAAGGAAGAGAGCCUGAUGAAGAAAAGCUGGAAAUCCCUCCCCUUAGCGUGUCAUUCCCAAAAGCCACAUACAUAAUGCAACAUGAUAAAGGAGUUGAAAGCCUUGGUCAAGAACUGUCAAACAUGGGCAUAAAUACCUUGGGGGAAAACAAGGUGGAAGGAGAUGACAUGAAGACCGUAGCAAGAAAGGGAGAUGAAGCACUCCCACAACUGACGGUAUACACCAUAGAAGAAGUCUCCGCCAAGACCUUUGUGCGCAAGUUGGCUCAGGACGAGAAGUUUCAGAACUGGGUGACCCAAGAAGCUCCAGUGGUUUUCAAAAUGUAAACCAACUUUGUUUGCCUUAGCAUGCUUUUGUCAUUGCUUAUGUUUGCUGUUAUUUCCUCUAGUUGACAAUCGAGGCUCAUGAUGUCAGCUAGAUUUUAUGUUUGUCAUGGAGCCCACUUUUUCUUUAAAUAAAUUGUGAGAUCAUGCACUUUCCACAAAUUGCCUUCUUUUUUAUGCACCAAACACUUCCCGCUUUCAGGAAUCCUGAAAGCGGAUCUCCUACAACAUCACAUAUAUUUAGCAUCAAGAAUAAAUGGCCAAACUUGAACGAGCAUGUGAUAGCUAUGGAAGAAGAAGAAUGGGAUGAAAGCAAUAUUAGUGAAUUCACCAGGCUAGUAGAACAACAGGAACAGACUUGGAAGCCUAUCGCCGAGGAACUCGAAACCAUCAAUGUGGGUAGUGAUCAGCUCAAGAAAGAGUUGAAAAUAGGUACCUUAAUUACUUCUGAACAAAGGAUAAAAAUGAUCACCCUAUUACAAGAAUAUUCAGAUGUCUUUGCUUGGUCCUAUGAAGAUAUGCCGGGUUUGGAUACAAAUAUUGUAGUACACAAGAUACCGUUGGAAGAAGGUUGUAAGCCAGUCAAGCAGAAGCUGAGGAGGGCCCACCCAGAUGUCUGGAUCAAGGUCAAGGCAGAACUUGAGAAGCAAUGGGAUGCUGGCUUCCUAGAAGUAGUUAGAUAUCCACAAUGGGUAUCUAACGUUGUUGUGGUGCCUAAGAAGGAGGGGAAGAUUAGAGUUUGUGUGGAUUUUCGGAAUUUGAAUAGAGCUAGCCCUAAGGAUGAUUUUCCCCUACCACACAUAGAUGUUUUAGUGGAUAACACUGCCCGGAGUUCCACUUAUUCCUUUAUGGAUGGUUUUUCAGGAUACAACCAGAUAAAAAUGGCUCCGGAGGAUAAGGCGAAAACAACUUUUGUCACACCUUGGGGGACGUUCUGCUACAAGGUCAUGCCAUUUGGAUUGAAGAAUGCAGGAGCAACCUAUCAAAGAGCAAUGGUGACUUUGUUCCACGACAUGAUACACAAGGAAAUUGAGGUGUAUGUAGACGACAUGAUUGCCAAGUCUGAAAGGGGAGAGGAUCAUGUUGAAGUUUUGAGGAAGUUGUUUGAGAGGUUGAGGAAGUAUGAACUAAGGCUUAAUCCUGCAAAAUGUUCAUUCGGAGUUAAAUCGGGCAAGCUGUUAGGAUUUGUGGUAAGUGAUAGGGGUAUAGAGGUGGAUCCAGAUAAAGUAAGGGCCAUCCAAGCUAUGUCAUCCCCUAAGACGGAGAAAGAAGUAAGAGGAUUCUUGGGAAGGUUAAACUACAUUGCUCGGUUUAUAGCUCAGCUAACAACGACGUGUGAACCUAUAUUCCGACUACUAAGGAAAAAGAAUCCUGGAACCUGGAAUGAGGAGUGCGAGGAGGCAUUCAGUAAAAUCAAGCAAUAUUUACAAAAUCCACCUUUACUGGUUCCUCCGGUAUCAGGAAAACCUCUAGUACUAUAUCUAAUAGUAACUGAAGCAGCCAUGGGAUGUGUAUUGGGUCAGCAUGAUGAAACCGGAAGGAAGGAAAGAGCUAUUUAUUAUCUAAGCAAGAAAUUCACUGAAUGUGAGUCUAGAUACACGGAGAUAGAAAGGCUUUGUUGUGCGUUGGUGUGGGCGGCAAAGAGGUUGCGGCAUUAUAUGUUAUACUAUACCACUUGGUUGAUUUCAAAAGUGGAUCCUCUGAGGUACAUUUGUAACAAGCCAUUUCUCUCAAGUCGAAUUGCAAGGUGGCAAGUUCUAUUAGCAGAAUAUGACAUAGUAUACAUGACAAGGAAAGCCGUAAAAGGAAGUGCAAUCGCGGACCAUCUGGCCGAUAAUGCUGUUGAAGAUUACGAACCUUUGGAUUUUGACUUCCCCGAUGAAGAUAUAUUGUCAAUAGAGAAAGAAGAAGAAAAGACAGAUUGGUGGACGAUGUUUUUUGACGGUGCAGUGAAUGUAUAUGGUAACGGGGCCGGUGCGGUAAUAAUCUCUCCUGAUAAGAAACAGUAUCCAGUUUCGGUUAAACUACAUUUCGAGUGCACCAACAAUACAGCUGAGUAUGAAGCUUGUAUCCUCGGUUUAGAAGCGGCAUUAGAGUUGAAGAUAAAGAAGUUAGAUGUAUAUGGAGAUUCAAUGUUGAUUAUCUGUCAGGUUAAAGGGGAAUGGCAGACCAAGGAGGAAAAGUUGAGGCCGUACCAGGAAUACCUAUCCACGCUAGCAAAGGAAUUUGAAGAAAUUAGAUUCACUCAUUUGGGAAGGGAGGGGAACCAUUUCGCGGAUGCUUUGGCCACGCUAGCUGCUAUGACUACCAUUGAUCUCAAGUGCAAGAUACAACCGGUACACAUUGACAUUAGAAAUGACCCAGCUCACUGUUGCUUAGUUGAAGGAGAGAUAGACGGACAUCCUUGGUAUUAUGAUAUCAAGAACCUUGUGCAAAAUCACGAAUAUCCGGUGGGAGCUUCCAAAACGGAUAAGAAAACUUUGAGAAGGUUGGCUAUAGACUUCUAUUUAGAUGGAGAGAUUUUGUACAAAAGAUCAUUUGAUGGGACCCUACUAAGGUGUUUGAAUGAGGCAGAUGCUAGAAAGGCAUUACGGGAGGUCCAUGAGGGGAUUUGCUCAACCCAUGCUAGCGGGCAUAUGAUAGCGAGGAAAAUCCAAAGGGCUGGUUAUUUUUGGAUGACACUAGAGAAAGACUGUAUCGAUUAUGUCAGGAAAUGUCAUAAAUGUCAAGUUUACAGUGACAAGGUCAAUAUGCCACCAGCUCCUCUAUUUAAUCUAAUAUCCCCUUGGCCAUUUGCAAUGUGGGGAAUUGACGUGAUCGGGCCUGUUAACCCAAAAGCUAGCAAUGGUCAUAGAUUCAUCCUCGUAGCUAUUGACUACUUCACAAAAUGGGUAGAAGCUAGUUCAUAUGCCCACGUAACACAGAACGUAGUGAAGAGGUUUAUAGAGAAGGACUUGAUUUGUCGAUAUGGUCCACCUGAAAAGAUAGUGACAGAUAAUGCACAGAAUUUCAAUGGCAAAAUGAUAGCGGAGCUGUGUACUAAAUGGAAAAUCAAGCAUUCGAAUUCUUCACCAUACCGACCAAAGAUGAAUGGCGCAGUAGAAGCCGCCAACAAGAACAUCAAGAAGAUUAUUCAGAAAAUGGUAGUCACAUAUAGAGAUUGGCAUGAGAUGUUAUCAUUCGCUCUUCACGCAUACCGCACUACAGUCAGGACCUCGACAGGGACUACCCCAUAUUCUCUGGUAUACGGUAUGGAGGCAGUGAUGCCGUUGGAAGUGGAAAUCCCAUCGUUAAGAGUAUUAAUGGAUUCCGAACUAGAAGAGGCUGAAUGGGCCAAGGUGAGAUAUGAGCAACUGAACUUGAUCAGCGAAAAGAGGAUAGCUGCAAUAUGUCAUCACCAACUUUACCAGAAACGAAUGGCCAAGGCAUAUGAUAAGAAGGUUAGACCGCGAUUGUUUCGAGAAGGGGAUCUAGUAUUGAAGAAAAUAUUGUCACUACCUGGAGACGAUCAAAGCAAAUGGGCACCGAAUUACGAGAGUCCUUACGUAGUAAAGAAGGCAUUCUCAGGAGGAGCGCUGAAGUUAGCUAGAAUGGAUGGAGAAGACCUAGUUCGACCUGUGAAUUCUGACUCUGUAAAAAGAUAUUAUGCUUGAUGUAGACUCCUAAAUCAAUAAAGCAAAGUUUGGCCAUUGACUUCUUUCUCUUUUGCAUUGAUCUCCCAACAAUCAUUUUUUUGCAUUAAUCCCAACAGUGCAUGUCUUGUUAUCGCACCUAAAAAGUUUAGCAUCGGCUGAACGAAUUUCUUCUCUAUACAAAAGCCCAGACUAGGAGCACACCCCUACACUGGGGGGCAAUACGAGAUGUUUUCAUGAAAAGCUUUACGUGUUUAAAAUGUACGUAAGCCUAUAGAUUUGAAAACCAAGCUAGAGUAUUUGACAAAAGCAUGACAAAGAGGCAAUGACAAGUUAUACAUUUUGGAAAAAGGACCACUUGAAGAAUAUGAUAGGAGGCAACACGAGAGAGGAAUCCAACAUACGAUUUCAAAAAGCAAGCUUAUGUUAAGAGGGAGUCUCAUGAACUAGCAGAAGAGGAUGGGGCCUAUGUUUCAAAACCAGGUACGAAUGCAUGCAUGGCAUCUAAUCAUAAAUCAUUGCAUAUAUGUUUUUUCUGGAUCGUUACAGGAGGAGACCUUAAUGCAUUCCAACAAGAUUGGAGACGAAGAAAGAAUCAUAGAGGAUGAUAGCAAAGAAUCACGGUUUUGAACCAUAGUGGAUUAUGGAACAACGAGAAGAACAAGAAAAAGAGAGAAUGAAAAGUUUUGAACCCUGUCAUCAGGAAGAACGACAUCGAUAUCAGCUUUGGUAGUAAGGAAUCGCCAGAUGGGAUUCCAAGUUGUUUGAGAUCGCCAGAAAGGAUCUCGUGUUUCGCUAAUUGGAGGUCGCCAGAUGGGACCUCGUGUUACCUGUUGAACAAAAGGAAUCGCCAGAUGGGAUUCCAAGUUGAAUAAAGGAGAUCGCCAGAAGGGAUCUCGUGUUUCACUAUUUGGAGGUCGCCAGAUGGGACCUCGUAUUACCUUUUGAAUAAAAGGAAUCGCCAGAUGGGAUUCCAAGUUUGAGGAGAUCGCCAGAAGGGAUCUCGUAUUUCGCUAUUUGAAGGUCGCUAGAUGGGACCUCAUAUUUCAUGUUUGAACAAAAGGAAUCGCCAGAUGGGAUUCCAAGUUGAUUAAAAGAGAUCGCCAGAAGGGAUCUCGGGUUUCGCUAUUUGGAGGUCGCCAGAUGGGACCUCGUUUUUCAUGUUGAUUAAAAAAAGGAAUCGCCAGAUGGGAUUCCAAGUUGAGGAGGAUUGCUGUAAAAGACAAGUUUCAGAUCAAUCAAGCUUCAACCAAACCAGUUUCGGGAGUUCCGUUUUGGGUUUAUCUUUAUAAAACUUAUUGCGCAAAACCUCUGCUCCGUAAGCAUUAUAAAGAGGGGGCAUCUGUUGUAACCCAUUUUUGGGUCCCCACAAAAUAUAUAUAUAAAAAAUAUAUAUCUAGCCAAAGGAGGUUAGAAAAAUAACAGGAGGUAGAAGCGUUCAGAAAAUGGUCGGAAAAUUGGUCAAUGAGGUUAAAAAUACAAAGAUUGGAUUUUUGACAGUAUAUUCUUGAAGGAGGAGAGCCCUGUUGGAAGAAGAAAAUUUAAUUUGAAGAGAAGGCCAAAAUUGGAUAUUUAUGGACUCAAUUGGAUUUUAUUGAAGGUUUAGUUGAAUUUAUAGAGGUUUUGAUUGCAAGGAAAAUUGAUUUUUAAGUCAAUUUAGGCCUUAAUUGGAAGAAAUUUAAGUUCUGGGGCCAAAAUAUAUUUUUUAGGAAUUUAUUAGGCCAAAUCAGGGGCUUAAUUGCAUAAAUAUUGAAGUUUAAGGGCCAAUUGGGGACUUAAUUGAGAAAAUCCAAAACCAGGGACCAAAUUGGAAGAGGCGCGUAAAUGGAGGGGCUGCAAUUAAUUGAUUCAGGGGCUUAAUUGAAGAAUUUGGAAGUUUAUUGAUCAAUUAAGGGUUCAAUUGCAUAAAUCAGAGACCAAGGACUAAAGUGAAACACGCGGCCAACAAGAGGGGCAGAGACCGAAAUUGGCAGGGAUGCAAUUGAAGAAAAAAAGAUAAUUGAGGGCUGCCUUGCAAAUUGACGCGUUUUGGCGUUUUGCAGGACUUAAAUGAAACGGCGCGUUUUGCCUAAAACGACGUCGUUUCAUGUGGAAAAAAAAAAAAAAAAGACCGGAACGGUGUCGUUUUGAACGACACUGUUCCUCUUUCUUCCUCCCCUGGACGUGCAGCAGGGGAAGAAAGAAAAAUGGUGGGUUUUUUUUUUCUUCAAGUGUGCUGCCUCUCUCUUGACCGCAUGCCUUGCCAGAAAACCGAGGGAGCCGCACCUCGCCAGCCACGCCCGCUGGCCGACCACCCGCCGCGCGCCUACCCGAAAAACAGGGAGCGGAACCUCGACAGCUGCACCCAAAUGGCCGACCAACCGCCGCAGCCCUUGUUCCCCAUGUGCAACCAUAAAAAGCCCCGCCCCUUGGCUCUAUAAAUAGAGGGAAGAACACUGAAGGAGAGAAGAGAAAACAGAGGAGAGAGGGGGGAAAGAGACCCGAAAGAGAGAGAACCGAAGAGAGAAAGGAAAAGCUAAAAAGAAAGGAGAAAAAACCAAAGAGAGGAGGGAACGAAUCGAAAAGGAGAGGACCCGAAAUAUAAGAGGGGAAAGCUAGAAACGGAGGGAAAAACUUGAAAAAAACAGUAACACUGCCGUUCGGUUGAGACAGCAGCACCACUGCCGCCGUUCGUGAGCCACCGGCCUCCGCCACAGCACCGCCUCCGGCAGCAACAGUACCACCAGCUCCACCGCCUCCUCCGCGCCAGGUAAUUCUUCUUCCUCCCUUCAUUACUGCAUUUUUUUUUUCGUUCCUGCAUGCAGAACGAAUAACGUUCUGCAUGCAGAAGGGUGGGGGGAAAAUAAUUCCCCCCGCCAGCGUUUGUUGCUGGGCCAGGCUGGUCCUGGCCCAGCCCAGUCUUCUGGGCCGGGUCUGGCCCAGAAGAGGAUAAUAGUAUUUGGGCCGAAAUCGGCCCAAUCCAUUUUUUGGGCCGAGAUCGGCCCAACACUUUUGGGGCUGAGUCCGGCCCAGUUGUUUGGGCCGGCCCAGCCCGAUUUAAUAUUAUAUAUUAUAUAUAUUAUAUUUUGUAUUACUUAUAUAUAUAUGUGAAAAAUUACAAAAAUUACACAAAAAAAUUAUUUAAAAAAUAUGUGAUUUUGUUGUAAUUUUAUUACAGUAUUUUGAUUAAUAUUGGUUGGUAUUUUUAUACUCUAAAGAUACAAAAUCCAGUUUUAAAAUACCCGGUUUUCAUCAAAACAUCAAAGAUUUUCAAAAUAAAAAAUGUCUUUUGCUUUCAAAAAAUUUCUAAAAAUAUCUUUAAAAAUAUUGUUGAUUUUUCUGCAUUUGUUUUAUCAAAGUGGAUUAAUAUUUGGUUGUAUUUUUAUACUGUAAGAAUACAAACCCAGUAUUAAAAUACCCGGUUUUCGUCAAGACAUAAAAAAUAAAAUAAGUUAAAAAUGUUUUGUUUUCGUGCAUACGGCCUAGUCUCUCUAACAUAUAUAUAUAAAUAUUAUAACAUCAUAUUUUCACACAACAAAAGAAAUUUCAAAAAAAAAAUAUAUGUAUUAGCAUGCAUUUUGGCUUUAAUAACCAGUUUAUUCGAGCCAUGAGAACUAGGCCAAUAUUUCAAAAAUUCUAAAAAAAUCUUUUUGUCCUCUUUUAGUACAUGGGAUUACAAAUUUAAACAUAAAAUGUUUUCCUGAUAUUAAAAAUAUAGUUUUUUCACAUAGACGUUAGAACGGUUAGGUUUUACCCGAUAAGAUAAGGACCUCCUUAUUGAGGAGGACUUUUCUUGAACCAUAGACGGACCAACAUACAUAGAUGUUAGAACGGUUAGGUUUUACCCGAUAAGAUAAGGACCUCCUUAUUGAGGAGGACUUUUCUUGAACCAUAGACGGACCAACAUACAUAGAUGUUAGAACAGUUAGGUUUUACCUGAUAAGAUAAGGACCUCCUUAUUGAGGAGGACUUUUCUUGAACCAUAGACGGACCAACAACUAGGAAACACAACGAGACCUUGAAUUUUAUCAGACAAAUAAACAAUGCAGCUUACCUUAGGUAGGGCGUAUUUGGGGUGGUAAUACCUUCCCUUUACGCAACCAGUCCCCGUGCCCAAUCUCUGAGACCAGUUAGGGUUCCUAGUGACCAAAAUACUAGGUGGCGACUCCCACACCAUUUUUCACUGCUAAGAGACAAAGAACUCCUUGUCUCACCAUAUUGACCAGAUAUAUAUCCCCCCACCAUACACAUUCGAGGGUGGACGAUCGCCGCGACGUCGCGCACGUGCGACAUUUGCUUUGCUAUUGGCUUAUGCUUAAAUAGAUUGCAGGAAUCGAAACAUGAGGUAAGCUACAUUGUGUGGUUUGAAAGUGGUUGAAAGGCUUUGAUAGGUUCCUAAAUAGUGGUAUAUCUAUGGCUUAAGAUGAGGAUUUAUUCAUGUAAAUAAAUCAGUUUUUUUUAAUUUAUUAUGGGCUCGUAUGCCCAAAUGAAUUCUUAUGAAAAGUAUCCAUAUAGGUGUCCUAACAAGGUUCACCUAUCUUGGAAGGUAGAAGGGUUUUUUCACAACUUGUGUAUUGUGAUGAAAAAUACUUCCAAUUAAAAUUGGUGAAUAUUUAAAAUAGUUAUGAGAAUUUUCUGGUCAACUCCUGAUAUUUAAAUACCAGCCUAUUUGUAGGUCCAACAUUUAUACCAGAAAAUUGACCAUCAAUUCUCAUGAAUUCAAUAAAUCAGUUAUUAAAUCCAAAAUGCAUGCAAAUAUAUAUAUAUAUAUUUGAAUUGUGUAUAAAAAUACUAAAACACACCAUGUAUUUUAUUUUUUAAGCUAGAUAUUAUUAUUUAUUUUUGAGAGACUUGGAUGUAUGGUAUUUAAAAUAAGAUUGUAUUUUUGAAAGAAGAGAUUUUUUGUUGUUUUUGUAAAAGGUAAAAUGAUUCGUUUGAAACACUCAAAAUGCCUCGCAUGUAGGUCACAAUUCCAAAUAUUAAAAUGGUAAGAAAAUAUGGCGAACUCAAAAUUAAUUACAAGAUGAUCUUCCAAGGAUUUUGAAAAUGGAUGAAGACAUUGUUUAAUAAAACACAAGUUAAUUAAUUUUAUCAAGGCUAUUUUUACCAUGAUAUUAAUUCAAAACAAAAUAUCAUUCAUUAACUUGAAGCCGAGCAACACCAAAAAUCCACUUGAAUCUUAUUAAUUUCACAAACUUUGUUCAAAUUGCAUAUUAAUCCAAACAAAUCAACAUAAACCCAAACAUAAUUCAUGCAUCAAUAUAUAUUUAAUGUCCAAAAAACAAUAACAAUCUAAAAAUAAAGUUAUAAUUCACCACAAAUAUUCAAAUUAUUUCAAAAAUCAAUGACACACAUCAAUCCAAAUUAAAAGUGUUCAACAAUCCGGAAAAAAACACAAUAAUAAGCAUUUUUUCCCAAAAUUUCACAACAUUAUAGCAAUUUGUCCAAAAAAAUAUUUUAAGGUUAUGAAUCGACAUUUCUUGGUGUUUAAUGUGUCAAGGUAUAUUGCAAUAGACACUAGAAGAUCACUAGAAUAAGUGGCAGCGCGUGUACCACAUGACACUACCACUUUCGGCGCGUGGACGCGCCACUACCGGUGGAAGAGCAUGUGCUGUUGGAUCUGAAACAGGUCUUCUCUUUGCUCUUAGUUGAGAAUAAUUGGGAGGCUUAACCUAAUGAUUAGCCAACCCUUUCUAUAUAUAUAUGUAGGGCAAUAUACAAUAGUAAUGGUGGAGGUUACCACACAAGAGUAUGUCUACAAUAUUUCCUAUAUACAAUAUUUCCUAUAUAAGUACAAUUUAUAAUAUGCCCCCUCAAGCUGGGGGUGGAGGAUCAACCCGAAGCUUGAAACGAAAAGCAGUAAACGAAGAAGUAGGAAGUGGCUUAGUGAAGACAUCGGCAAAUUGAUCCUAGGAGGAAAUAAAACGAAUCUGAAUCUCCUUCUUUGCAACUCUAUCUCGGACAAAAUGAUAAUCGACCUCAACAUGUUUUGUGCAAGCAUGAAAAACAGGAUUCGCAGACAAAUAAGUGGCACCAAGGUUGUCACACCAGAUAAUAGGAGCAGAAGCAGACAAAAUCUGGAGAUCUGUUAAUAAGUACUGAAGCCAGAUAACCUCAACAAUGCCAUCAGCUAAGGCUUUGUACUCAGCUUCAGUAGAAGAGCGAGCAAUUGUGCGUUGCUUACCGGAUUUCCACGAAAUCGGCGUCUGACCAAAAAACACAAGGUAACCACCCGUAGAUUUAUUGUCCUCAACACUACCUGCCCAAUCUGCAUAUGUAAAACCAUGUAAGGCAAAAGAAGAACUGCGAGUAAUAUGUAAGCCAUGUGAUGUCGUACCCCGAAGAUAACGCAAGAUGCGUUUCACGGCAGCCCAAUGAGAAUCUGUAGGAGCAUGCAUAAACUAACAGACUCUGUUAACAGCAAAGCAAAUAUCUGGGCGCGUAAAAGUGAGAUACUGAAGAGCACCCAUAAUUUGACGAAAGAGGGUAGCAUCAGAAAACAAUGGAUCGGGCAUAAUGGUAGCUUUGGAUGUAGAGAUAGGAGUAUCAACAGGUUUGCAAGAUAACAUACCAGCCCGAGUGAGGAUGUCAAGUAUAUAUUUAUGCUGGCGGAGCAUAAGACCCAUACUAGUAGACUGAACCUCAAUACCCAAAAAAUAAUGAACAGAACCCAAGUCGCGAAGCUUAAAUUCUGAGCUCAUUAGCUGAAUGAGGCGUUGGAGCAGAAAAGAGUUACUACCCGUAAGCAGAAAAUCAUCAACGUAGACCAGAAGAUAACAAAUAUCAACACCAACAGAGAAGAUAAACAAUGAGGUAUCCACCUUAGAGGCACGAAAACCAAUAGAUAACAGGAAAUCAUUCAGACGAGUGUACCAAGCCCGCGGAGCCUGUUUUAAACCAUAUAGAGAUUUAUGCCAUCGGCACACAUGAGAGGGGAGAGCAGAAUCAACAAAACCUGGAGAUUGUUUCAUGUAGACCUCCUCAUCAAGAACACCAUUGAGGAAGGCAUUAUGGAUGUCAAGCUGAUGAAUUUUCCAACCACACGAAACUGCAAUGGAGAAGACUAAUCUGAUGGUCGCCUGUUUGAUGACUGGACUAAAGGUUUCAGAGUAAUCAAUACCUUCUUGCUGAGUGAAACCUUUAGCAACCAUACACGCCUUAUACCUCUCGAUGCUUCCAUCAGAUCUGCGUUUAAUCUUGUAUACCCACCGACUACCAACAACAUUCAUGGAGGGGUGAAACGACACUAAGGUCCAAGUUAUGUUUGCGCGUAAGGCCUGAAUUUCCUCACGCAUAGCACUAUGCCACUCCUCAUAUUUGUUAGCAUCAUUAAAAACAAGUGGCUCACGAGAGGGAGGAGAAACUACCCGGCUGAAGGAGACAGCAGAGGUUGCGGCAGUGGCUGUGGACAACGCUGUCUUGGGCUGCCUUGGACGAAGAACCAUGGGAUGUUGACGAGCAGCUGGGCAUGGAGAAGUGUGACCUGUACCUGGAAGAUGCUGAAGAGGAUAUGAGGAGAGGUCUACACAGAGCUGCAGACCAGCUGAAGCAGUGGAGGGACUGGUCUGCACUGUAGACACUGGUGAGGCUGCUGCAGAACUGGGAUGAUCUGCUGCAGAACCUGGCUGCUCUGUUGCAGCAGACCUGAGAACAUGUGCAUCCGGUGAUGGAGAACCUGUUCCUGCAUAAUGAUCAUUGGAAAGACAAGCAUAUGGUGACAGUAUGGCAAUGUGGGAUGGUGAUGAAGGGGUGGUAGAAUCUAUAGGCAAAAGGGUAGGCUGGUAGGGUGCGGCAGAGGGUAGAAUUGGGUUGUGGUUGGGGCCGGUUUGGUAAGUAGUAGGCUGAAAGGAUGGAGGAGGGUUCAAGGAUGGAAGAUAGGUAGGUGGGGUGGGAGGUACCGGUGAGGAUGUUACCUGUUCAGACUUCAUAAAAGGAAAGAUAUUUUCAUGAAAACGAACAUGACGGGAGACAUAAAUACGAUCAGACUUUAAGUCAAGACAACGAUAACCAAGAUGAGAUGAGCUAUAACCUAAAAACACACAAGGAGAAGACCGGAAAUCUAAUUUAUAAGCAUGAUAUGGACGCAAAAAGAGAAAACAAAGACACCCAAAAGUAUGUAGAAAGUUAUAAUCAGGAGUGCGUCGAAACAGACACUCAAACGGAGAUGUAUUUUGGAGAACAAGAGUAGGCAUGCGAUUAAUAAGGUAGACUGAUGAUUCAAAAGCAUAGUUCCAAAAUCGCAAUGGGGCACUACACUGGCCUAAAAAGUUUAGGCCAGUUUCGACUAUAUAUUGAUGACGACAUUCAACAGUGCCAUUUUGUUCAUGAGUAUGAGGACAAAUUAACCUAUGAUGAAUACAAAUGGUCUGAAAAAUUUUAUUUAAUUUACGAUAUUCACCGCCCUAAUCAGUUUGAACAGAUUUAAUUUUAAGAGAAAACUGACGCUCAACAAGUGUUUGAAAACGUUGAAAAGUGGAAAAAACAUCAGAUUUCGCAACAAGCGGAUAAUACCAUAUAUGUUUGGUAUGCGCAUCGACAAAAAUAACAAAAUAGAGGAAGCCAUCAGAAGAAAACAUAGGGGUAGGACCCCAAACAUCACUAAAAAUUAAUUCAAGUGGGGCAGAAGUUUUGUGAGCCGUAGGUCGUAAUGACAAACGGGACGACUUUUCUAAAGGACAAGCUUGACACUGAGUAAGAGAACAUUUAGAAGUACAUACGAUUUUAUUGCUGGAAACUAAUAAAUUGAAAAUGCGAGGGGUUGGAUGACCCAAACGACGAUGCCACAGGUCGGCUGUCGCAAAGAUGCAAGGAGACCGAAAAGCUUGAGGAAUUGACGUGGCAGAAGACUCGGAGAGGACAAAAGGCCAUCAUGACUCUGACCGGAAAGGAGAACUUCCUUGGUGACGAGAUCCUUCACAUAAAACAUAGAAGUGUGAAAUUUAAAAUAAACAUGAUUAUCACGAUAGAAUUUUUGAACAGAUAACAACAGUUUGGUAAUGUGAGGCACAUGGAGAACAUUAGAUAAUGUAAACAUGCGUUUUGGGGAAAGUAAUUUAGUAUGUCCAAUAUGGGAUAUGUCAAGGCCCUUACCGUCACCAACAUGCAAAUAAUCAUUACCAAGAUAGGGUGCAGAAUCGGUCAGAGUUCCAAGAUCAGGUGUGACGUGUUGAUUCGCGCCGGUGUCGGGGAACCAAGUCGCACCAGAGAUAUUCCCAACAGCAAGAUGAGUAGAGGGCUGCUAAGAGCUGCUACAAAACUGGGAACAAUGGGGAGCUGUGUGCCCAAAACUGGAGCACAAUUGGCAGCGUACAUGCUGCUGUCCAGACCACUGCCCAGCAUUGGAAUUGCGCCUAGUUUGCUGCCAGUUGUUUGGCCGCCAAUCUGCAGCAGAGUGGCCCCUAUUCUGGGGAGUGGAACGGUUGUUGUGGGGACGCCAAUUACCUCUAGAGCGACCCCUGUUGCAGCUGAAGUUGCGGUUGUGAUGAGACAUAGCAUGGUGUGCAGAAAACUAUGGUGUUGGCAGCAGAGAAGAAGAAGACAACAGAGAGGGAGCGACAGUCAUGGAAUGGUAAGAGUUCUUGUGCAGAAAUUCAUGGGUAAGAAGGUGGCUGUGAAGAUCAGCGUAGGAUAGCGGUUCUGCCUUGGUUAUGAGACUCGUUACCAAGUCUUUGAACUCACCACGAAGGCCACGAAACACAUAAAGAUUGAAAUCUUCAAGAGACAUGGGGCGACCAGCAGUAGCCAAUUCGUCAAAUAACGAUUUGGCUUGCUGCAUGUAUAGACUAACCAAUGAGUCACCUUGCCGAAGGUCUUGAAAGGAGUCAUGGAGUUGCAUGAUGCAAGAAUUAGACGGAGAGGCAAGCGCUUUCUCAAGAGUGCGCCAAACACAAUGCGAAGUAGAACAAUCUACCACGAGAUGCAACACAUCCACGGAGAGAGAGGAGAGCAAAGCACUCAAAAUAAGUUGAUCCUGUUGCUUCCAACAAAGAAAAGAAGGGCUGAUGAUAGAGGAAGAACCAGCAGAGCUGUCAAAAAUAUGAGAUGGAGGACACGGCACUAAGCCGUCAACAAAGUGAAAAACACCUUGACCAAGGAGAUAUGGCUUCAUCUGCAUUCUCCAAUAGAGAUAAUUUGUGUUCGUAAGUUUUAGCGAAACAACUUGGUGAGUGUUCGCUAAAGGAACAAUAGUUGUAGUGUGGGUUCCCAUGAGAGGUAAAGGAACGGCAGGGACUUGGAAGGAAGAAUCAGAGACAAGCUCUGCAAGUAGAGGCUGCUGUGGGGAAGAAAAGGCACCAGUGGCAGCAGCAUGGGGAUGGUUGGCCGACUGUGCUGCACCACCUGUGGAGAGGGAGAAGUCGGCAGCAGCAGUAGAAUCCAUGUAGAGAAAGUAAAGAGAGGGUCGGCUGCAAAGGGAGGAAGGGAGAAAAGAGUUUGACGGCAGAAAGCUCUGAUACCAAGUUGAGAAUAAUUGGGAGGCUUAACCUAAUGGUUAGCCAACCCUUUCUAUAUAUAUAUAUAUAUAGGGCAAUAUACAAUAGUAAUGGUGGAGGUUACCACACAAGAGUAUGUCUACAAUAUUUCCUAUAUACAAUAUUUCCUAUAUAAGUACAUUCUAUAAUACUCUUAGACUGACAGUGAGACAAACGGAUGUCUAAAGGUAGAGAUCUGCUCGAUCAAAGGUCAAUCCUCUUCUCUUUUAUUCUUCUCUCUUUCAGCUCUCUCUACCGUUUCUAAACAUUCUGAAGAGACCUGGUGUUCACGGUGGGGUUUUUGGUUACAUGGAGAAGCUAUUGGGAUAGUUGUGACGAGUUGCUCAGCUGCGAUGAUGCGUGGCAGAAAAUGACAUCAACAACUGGUAGUAUGUGAUGAGCAGAACCUGGUUUUCAAUUUCAAUUUAAUGAAUCAAUGAUCAUUGAUUAGAUUGAUACCAUUUCCCAUUCUUCAAGUUCCCCUACAAUCUCCAUUAUUUGUAAUUAAAAAACUUCAAUACGGAAAAGUGGUGAUGUAUACAAGUUUGAAAAAACUUUCAUUAAAAGAAUGAUAACUUAAGUGUUUUUGUAUAACUUCUUAGACAAGGAUGAAAUACAUUGAGCAAUUGCAUACAAGUGGAUUUGUCAAAGCAUGAAAGCCGUUCAAAAGAGAGCCGUUCAGAUGGAAUUACCGGAUUUAUUGGUAACUGAGGAAGGAUAACCAAAUUUAUGGGUAAUUAUAUGAGCCGUUCAGAUGUGUAGUAUGUAAUGGAUGUAUUAUAUAUUUGUAUAGAUGUUAGUAUGGCUAAAUCAUUUUCAAAAUGAUAAGAUAAGUUUAUAAUAUAAAGUAAUAGAAUACAUUAGAUGUUUUAAGACAAUAUGACUCUUAAUCUAAAUAUUGUAUUCAUGUAGUCUAAAUGCAUAUAUGUAGUUAGUUUGCAUUUAUUACUCUUUAGUGAUGAAAUUGUUUGUCUUUCAAUUUGUUUUAGUAAUUCUUUUAUGUUGACUUAUUAAUUGAUAUUAUGAGACUUGAAUAUAAUAAUAAGUAUAAGUUUUGAGAGAUUGAUUGAUGAAUGGGAUGUGAUUCAGGAUGAUUGGAUUAAGAUGGAAGUUGUAAUGACAUAUAAUAGAAGUGUUGUCGAUAAAUUGGCACCAACAAAAAUAGAGGAAACUUUGGCGAACUUUUCAAAAAAAAUUUAAAAAUCUAUAAUCUUAGACAAAUUAUUCAAUACUUAACAUUCGUAAAGAAACGUUUAAGAUUUCAUGACAUUAUAAUUUGAGGAUGUUAUAGUUUGGUACUAAGACAAACCAUGCAUUUUAUUUUUUAAGUAAGAUAUGUUUUAUUUUUAUUUUUGGGAGACUUGGUCGUAUGUUAUUUAAAAUAAAAUUGUAUUUUUGAAAGAAGAGAUUUUUUUGUUGUUUUUGUAAAAGGUAAAACGAUUCGUUUAACAUCCAAGAAGCAUCUCGUGUGUAAGUCACGAUUUUAAAUACUAAAUACGUGAUGAUUGGAAAAUAUGGGGAACUCAAAAUUAAUUGCAAGAUGAUCUUCUAAAGAUUUUGAAAAUGGAUGAAGACCGUGUUUAGUAAAACACAUAUAAAUUAUUUUUAUCAAGGCUAUUUUAACCACGAUAUUAAUUUAAAACAAAAUAUCGUUCAUCAACUUGAAACGAGCAACACCAAAAAUCCACACGAAUCUUAUUAAUUUCACAAACUUUGUUCAAACUGCGUAUUAAUUCAAAGAAAUUAACACAAACCCAAACAUAACUCAUGCAUCAAUAUUUAAUGUCCAAAAAAUAAUCACAAUCUAAUAAUAAACUCAUAACUCACCACAAAUACUCAAAUCACCUCAAAAUCAAUAAUACACAUCAAACCAAAUUAAAAGUGUCUAACGGUCAAGAAAAAAUACACAUUAAUAAGCAUUUCCCUUAAAAUUUCACAACAUUAUAGCAAUUGUCUGAAACAAUAUUAGUAAUUAAAAAACUUCAAUAUAGAAAAGUGGUGAUGUAUACAAGUGGAUUUGUCUAAGCAUGAAAGCCGUUCAAGAGAGAAGGAGUUACCAAUAUAUAUUCCUUUCUCAUCUCUCAAAUAUAUAUAUUUCUUAUCACUUUAUUCAUGAACUCUUGAUUAAUCCGAAUUCUAUGUCAUAUGCGUAAUCUAAUUUUGAAAUGAAAUAUUCUUUCGCAUGAACCGGCUAUAAUAUUCAUGUAAAAAAGCAUCAGACAAUAUCUUACCUGCCUUGCCACCGCCAGGACCUUAAAUCCAGACCUUUGCCUACCGCAUUAAUUGACAAGAAUAUUUCAAGCAUUUAGAACCUUAAAGAUACCAACACAGCAUUGGGGUAGAUUUUUCAUAGCAUGAAAAAUUGGUAUUAAUAAGAACUUUUUUUUUUCCUGGUCCUGCUCGAUUUGGAAAGGGGUCCUUGAGGAUCCAAUUUGGAGUAUCUUGUGGGUUUAGUCAAAAAGGUCAUUCUCAGUCUUCACACUUCAUGCACAAGGAAAGAAUAUGUUUAAUUCGUCAAUCGACUCAUAGCUAACUCUGUAACAAAUGUUUGGGAUGAAGGGAAAAGUAUAGAUUUUUCUCAUUAGAGAAAGAAACUGCAUAAAAUGUGAAUGCUGUAAUUAUUUUCAAAGAACUUAACCAUAAAUCCACCCUUCUUGCAAGGAACAAAGCCUUCUUCCCUAUAUUUUCAAAGAAUGCUAUAAUUAUUAUGGUGAAUCAUGCAUGCAUAUCCAGAAUGAUUUGAUAUUUCUUAAUUGAAUUUUGGAAAGGUCGUGAUACUUGGUAAAGCCUUUGGAUAGUUUCUCUGAGAUGUGAUGGAAUUAACAACAUAUUGAGAAUAAUAAAAAAGAAAAAGCAACGGAAUCAAUGAUCAAAAGUUGUGAAAAUUAUAUCUUUCUUUGAAGAUUUUGAUUUUGACCACAGUGAACCUAUAAGCUUAGAUAGAGAGGGCUUCUAUGAUUUCUAUAUAUACGGACUAGCUUGGCUUCAAACCAUAUGUACAAGUCAAGCUCAAACUCAGAACCUACUUAAACUGUUUCUUCUUCUUAUUUUUUAGUGUCAUUUUGCAAAUGGCUCGCCAAGCAGAUCGCCUUUACAAGAUUGGGUUGGAAGGGUUUGCACUAAUAGACGAGUGGUACGGGUACCCUAGGAGGUCUUCAACUCCUCAAGAGCACCAUCAGCAACGAUAUGAUUAUGGUGGAAUCCAAGUUCCCAUGAUGAAAAUGGAUGUUAUCAACAACAAGGAGGCAGCUAAACAUUAUGGUGGGGUGGUGAUUAUGGAUUAUCGAAAGAAAAAAUUACUCUAUUGAUCUCUUUAGUGAUAAUGUAUUAGGCCUUGCUUUGCUUGGUUAAGUUAAUUACCAAGCAUAAUUAAGUCCGUUUUAACUUUAUUGUUUUCUUCUUCUUUUUCCUAUGUUUGUGUGUGUGUAUGCCAACUGUUUUAGAGUCAGCUACUCCAAAACAUGAAAAAGUAUGAGUGCCUUAAAGUGAUUUGCUGCACCUCUUAUUUCUCUAUGAUUACUUUGUUGGGUUUCUUGAAAUACAUGACAUAGUGAAAAUAGGGAUUUUAGAAAGUUUUUUCAAGUCUCAUGGAUCUCAUUAAACAACAUAAACUUAUUUAGGAUUUGUGCGAAAAUUGUAUGAAGAUGGUUCUUCCUCCUGGAAUUUGAUCAACACUUGAAGGUUGGGUUUGUCGUAAAUCAAGUCUUUACUUGAUUUUUUUAAAUAUAGAAUUUUAAUCUCAUGUGCUAAUUAUAUUAUAGUCUUCAGUUUUUAAAACUUAUUUACAAUCAAUUUGUUGUUACUAACUUUUGACUCCACGAGAAAUCAAUAAAAGAAAAGAGAAAAGAUAGAAAGAGAAAAUCCAAAAUACAAGAGGAUAUACAUGAAAAAAACCUAAAAGAUUAAUAGUAGGCUAGGAACUUUUAGGAUGCUGGGUUCGGUUUCUUCAUGUUCUUGAAAAGAAAAUUGUCUUAGCCUUAUGAUUUAGAUCAACUUUGGUCCAAUUGUUUACACUAAACCAUUCAGGCGACUUGACUAGUAGAUAAUAUAGAGUUUAUUUGCAUUAAUAACAAGUUUAUGUGGUUUUUAAUCCUAAGAUUUUGGUUUUUAACUAAAACUCAUUUUGAUAAAAUCGUGUUAAUUCUUUGAUAAUCAAAGAAAUGGAUGCUAGAUUAUGGAUCCUUGCAUGAUUUUGAAUAAAACUCUGCCUUUGAUUGCAUGAAAACUUGACUGGAUUGAGAUUUGUGUUUGUUGGUUUCUUGAUGAAUGUUCUUUGUGUUCUUCAUGAUUUGAGUGUUUAAUCUAUUUUUCUGUAAUUUUUUUUAUGUUUUGUGUUAAUUUUCAACUUUGGUUUUGUAUCAGUUAAAACCUUUGGGUUUAUUUUCAGGUCAAACAUUGGUUUUUGGUUCGAUUCAUCGUUGAACUAGUGUUUUUGGGUCGACCCAUUUGGUUUUGUUUUGGGUCAAGUACUUAAGGCUUUGUUUGUUUGAACAACCUUUUGUGAAGGAUUUUUUUGGUCUAAGGGGAUGUUUGGCAAACACACACUUAAAUGCAUUUUGGCAAUUUCUAGGGAAAGAAAAGAUUGUUUUUCCAAACAUUGGCUUAUAGAAAUAAAUAAAUAAAAACAAUAAAUGAUUUUGGUUUGUUGCAUAUAUCUCAAUCUUUACAAAAAAAAAUGCAAUUUAUUUAUAAGAAGGAGGGAAAAUGUUUUUAGCAUUGUUUUUUUUUAAUUUUUGUAAUUUACAAUAAGUUUGCAAAAUUCCUUAAGGAUGUGGCCAAUAUUUCAAUAACCCUAAAAAUUUUAAUUCCUAAAAAUUAAUGGUCAACAUUCUGGUAUAAAUGUUAAACCUAUCAAUAACUUAGUAUUUACACUACCACAAUCUUUAUAUUUAUCGACAGAAUUUUCUGUCGGUAUUUGCACUAUCAUUCCGUUGAUAAUUAAUUUACCAAUGAAAUUACCGACGAAAAUACUCCGUCGGUGAAUCCUUCGUCGGUAAUUUUUUGUUCGUCGGUAAGUCCGUUGGUAAUAAAAAUAUUAUUUGACCGAUGAAAAAAGCGUGCAAAAAAAAAUUAUCCGCUUCAUUCCGUCGUUAUUUCUCUCGGUAAGUCCGUAUGUAAUUAUUUAAAUUUUUUUUAAAAAAAUCAUUUUACAAAACUAUAAAAUAAUUAAAUUAAUAUAAAUCAACACUCUAUAAUACUCAAAACACUUGAAAAAAAAAAUAAACAAAAUAAACUCAAACAAAUUUGCAACAAAUAAAUAACAAGAAAAAAUAAAUUCAACUCCAAAAAUUCAUAUGAAAAAAAUAAAGUUGCAAUUGCUAAAAAAUUAAAACUCCUAUAAAUAAAUCAACUGAAAAUUGAUCUCAUAUGGAAAAAAAAAUCCUACAACAACAUUCAUACAAUUAUUAAGAACAAAAAAAAUUAAAAACAAAUAUAGUGAAAACAAAAACACGAAAAAAGAAGAAAACAAAUCUUACCUUAAUGUAGUUGCAAGUGAAGCUAAUAAGAGAAAAAAAAUUAUAAAGUAUAAUAAUUAAAAAAAACUAAGAACAAAAAAAAGAGAGAAAAAUACAUACUUGAGCAUGAAGGAGAAGAGAAGGAGUUGAGGAGAGAGGAGAAGAGAAAGAAAUGGAUAUUGAUGUUUUUUACAUAUGGGAAAGAAGAAGAAGAAGAAGAAGAAGAAAGGAGCCUUGUUUGUUGUGAAAUUGGGGAUUCCAGACUUUUUAUUGGGGUGUUUUACCGAUUGAUAAUUAAAUAUUAAUAUUUUCAAUUAAAUAAAAAAUUUCCGAAACCACCAAAUAUCACCGACAGCUUUUCAAUCCAUCGGUGAUUCCGUCUGUAAUAUUUAAUUUAAAUUUUCAAUUUUAUCAAAAUUUUUAGAAACCCGCCAAAUAACACCGACGACUUUUUAAUCCAUUGGUGAUUUUGUAUUUAAAAAACAGUAAUUAACAGUGCAAUUGUGGAGUGAACAGUUCCAGAGCUCUCUGGAAAAUACCGACGGUAUUUUUCGUUGGUGAUUCUGUCUGUAAUUGACAUGAUGAACAAUGUUAACAGUGAUUCCGUUGGUAAAAAAUGACACGUCAUUGUUUUUUUUUUUUUGCUUUGUUUAAAUUUUUUUUCCCACUGUAAUUCCCUCGGUAUAUACCGAAGGUAUAUUUCGUUGGUAAAAACCGUCGGUAAUUUAUAGACGGAAAUAUUUCCUUGAUAUUUCCGUUUGUAUUUAUUGAUUUUCUGAUAGUGUUAGGUACCAGAAGUUAACUAUAAAUUCUCAGAAUUAUUUUGGAUAUUCACCAAUUUUAAUUGUGAGUAUUUUUUUAUCACAAUAUAUGAGUUAUAGAAAACACUUUCGCAUUUCAGGAUUGGUGACUCCUGUUAGAGCACCUACAUGGAUUCUUUUUAUAAGAAUUUACCUAAGCAUACGAGCCCAUAAUAAAUUUGAAAUGUCAGAUUUAUUUAUGGGCGUAAUUUUUUUUUUGAGCCAUAGAUGAACUACUGAUUAGGAACCCAUCAACACGUUUAAACCAUAUCAUGACAACACAAUACAACUUACUUCGAGUAAGGAUGCUAAUACUUUUUUCUAGCCAAUACUAGUCCCUUACCCUAAAAUUUCAGUUAAGAUCAUUCUACUUGGGUCUUCUAAUGACUCUGAACUACACAACUAGGUGGCGACUCCUUAAUCUCGAUACUGCAACACCGCGCGCGCAUGGGCGACACAAUUCAUGCUUGAUUAAUCAUCCAUGUUCCGAAUAUGUUGACACAAAUAUAAAUUAUAAUCCUAUUCAAAACAAGAUUAAAUAAAUUAAGCAAUUUAACUUAUUAUCAAUCCAACAAAUUAAUAGAUUUAUAUUUAAAUAUCAAAUGCAACAUACCAUGAUCUCUUAAAUCUUGUCGUAGUACCAAAAAAAUGUGAGUGUAUCAUCUUUUAGAUGGUGAAUCAUCUUUUAUCAUUCAUAUACCUUUAUAGCUAUGUGAGCAAGUGUAUCUAGUAAAAAGAUAUAUUAUUCUCCCAUGAUAAUGAGAUUAUCAUGUCUUUAAAUGUCUUUACAGAAAAAGGGGAGGGGGGAAAUGCGCUGAGUAUAUAGCUUUUCUUGAUCUUUUCCAAUCCUUCAUUAUAAAUAGGACGCAUCAAACAUGAUGUGAAUCAUGUUUGAUUCUUUUCACAAACUUUGUGUAUGAUAUGAAUCUCUACUAUUAAAUGCAAUGAGAUGCGCUUUAACUUCCACCAUAUUUCAUUUUAGCCUAGAAGGGUUGAUCUUACUUCCUCAGCAUCUCCAACUGCAUGCCCUUGCCUUCUCUACAUAUAAAAUAGAAUAUUAUUGCUUCUGAAACAUAAAGAUUGCAUGCAUCGGCUUUUAGUGAACUUUUGAUGACAUGAAACUGCCACAAAAUGGGUCCUAUCCGAGAGAGUGUUCUUUUUCUGUUCUGUUAUCACAUAGAACUGAAAUCUGUUCAGAGUACCCCUCCAAGAAAAUGGUCUCUCAAGGGAAGUCCUGAGGAAAUUGACGCAUAUAUAACGAUAUAUCUUGUCCCAGUAUCAAAAACAAAUGUUAAAAAAUGAGAGUAUAUGAACCCAUGAAGUGGUAUCAGAAUCUAUUUUCCUAUUGUUAUUAACAAAACGGAAAGCCAUAACUUACUGUUUGUGCCCUGAAUCUUCUUUCAUAAUUAAACUGAGAUUAUUCUGAUUAGAAGGAAUCAGAGAUAAAAUACCCUGAAUCUUCUUUCAUAAUUGGCUUUCGAGAAGGUUUAGUGUUUUUACUACUUCUACUUUUGGACCUGACUUGAUUCCUCACCGGUAGAAACAGCAUUAGUCCAAAAGCAGGGAAACCAAUAUAAUCUUUUUCAGAUGUCCAUGGUGCUGAUGGAAAAUUAAUCUUUUUCCAGAAGUGUAAGGCUAAAUAGAUAUUAUGAGACCAAUAUAUUUUUCUUAUUGUCAGAUUUUCUUUUUUCUUCUAUAGUUUCUAGUGCUUGGUAUGUAAAUAUUAUCAUAAUAGGUUUGCGUGAAUUCAUAAAAUAGAUGGGAAACCUAACCACGCACGCGAACUAGAGGCAUGCAAACCAUGAAAUAUCUUGAGUAUUUGUGUAUUACAUGGCUUACAAACCUGUAUUUAUUUCCUCUUUAGAUUUGUAUCUUCUUCUUCUUCAUUUUAAUUAUAAUUAAAUCAAUUAUUAUUAUUAUUAUUAAUAUGGGUCUGUGACAUGACCUAAGAGUUGAUGUCUUCUCCCAAGUGUAGGAGUGUCGAAGUAAUAAAUAACCUGGCAAGACCGGGGUCGAACCAUAGGAAGGUUAACUAUAUAAACUACAAAUAAAGAAAUAGAUAAUAACAGAAAAGGAUUGAAGAGAGCUUUGAGAUGUGAUAUUGAUAUAAUGAUUAAACAAUGAUAAAAUAAUUGUCAAGGUUAGAGGAUCCACUAACGGUAUUUCAAACAAGUAUAGUAUAAACUCUUUUUAUUACUCAACUGGAAACCACACACAAAGGAGGUUCCAAUCGGAUUAUAAAUUGUUAACAUGAUUACAUUAGUUAUCUUAUUCGACUAAUGCUAAUACUUGUAAAUAUUGUCAGGUAUUCAUGAUUAUAACUUAUGUUAACAACAAAUCAAGUUCCUUUCAUAGCACAUGUGUCAGUUAUACCAUACGGUUGGGUUAUGAAAGUGCCAAGUAUUUAUUGUACCAAGGGUUAUACAACAUAAAUCUAGAUUAACCAUUUAACAAGCAAAGUAUUAAAAGUGAACAAGAUAACAAAUAUAAAACAUGUUAGUAUCAAACAUUAAAGUCCAUGUUGAGUUUAUACUAUACUUAUUCUUACACUAUUAGUGUAACCUUUUCACCUUGACAUAAUAAACUUAGCUAAACAUAAUGAAAGAUAGAAACAUAAAUAAACAAGAUAAGAACAUAAACAAGAUAUAAGUUAACUAAGUAAAGGAAAGGAAAUGAAAAGCAUAAACAAGAGAUUAAUAUAAUAAAACUUAAGCAUUAUAAAAAUAUAAAGAAAGAGAGCAAGAACAUGAUCUUGAUAUGAAAACCAAGAUGCUUAAAUGCAUGACAAAUGCCUCCUUUUAUAGGCCAAAAUUCGGAACUAUUGAUUUGAUGACUAAUUAUUGAGUUGGUGGCCACAUCUUGACUUGGUGACAAUUCUUAUCUUCUUGUCUGAACAAAACGUCAUUGCUAACAUUAGAAUUUGAAUAGAUAGUCUUCAUGAAAGUUCUGGGAAAUUGUCUCAACUUUCCAACAAAACAAGAAUAGGCGCAUUUGGACUUCUAGAACUCGAGAUAUGGGCUGAAAACUGAACAGUGUCUGGGCUGCAGGACCGAUUCUGACUUCUUCGUUGUUGCUACCAUUUGAACUCGAAAAUGACACUUUUAAAUCUUGGACUCUACAUGAAAGUUUUAGGCCUAUGUCUUAGCUUUCCAUACAUAUAAACCAGACCUAAAUCCAUGUUCUACAGCUUCAUUUAUUAUCCAAUAACCGAAUGGUAUUCUAGUUUGGACUAAACAAGCAUCUCUUUUCUAAGCUUAACCCUCUCUUUGUCUUCUCAAUUUCAGUAGUUAAACUUAAGUAGGAUUUGUGCGAAAAUUGUAUGAAGAUAGUUCUUCCUCCUAGAAUUUGAUCAACACUUGAAGGCUGCGUUCUCGUAAAUCGAGUCCUUACUUGAUUUUUUAAAAUUUAGAAUUUUAAUCUCAUGUGCUAAUUAUAUUAUAGUUUUCAAUUUCUAAAAUUUAUUUACAAUCAAUUUCUUAUUACCUACUUUUGACUCCACAAAAAAUCAAGAAAAGGAAAAAGAAAAAAUAGAAAGAGAAAAUCCAAAAUACAAGAGGAUAUACAUGAAAAAAACCUAAAAGAUUACUCAAGUUGAUGGUCACGGACCAAAUUACAAGUGGAAAAGUUGCAGGACCAAAAUGUACAAAACUGCUAUAAUUAACAACUCAAUUCCAAUUGACAAAGGGCCCCAUUGGUGAAAAUAUUUCUAUUAGGGUAAAGAAAUACAAAUUUGGAUAGGUAAGGACUUAAUGAGAAUUUUGGAAGGCUUAAUUAAUUUUAUUGAGGACUUGAUUACUGGGAAAAUCAGUUUUUAGAGUCAAUUUAGGUGUUAAUUGAAAUAAAUUAAAGUCCAGCGACUUAAUUGGUUUUUUAGGAGGUUUAAUUAGAUGAAUCAAGGGCUUAAUUGUAAGAAUAUUGAAGUUUGGUAGGCAAUUGGGGACUUGAUUGAAGAAAUCUAAAACCAAGGACCAAACUGAAUAAAAGGCGCAUGACUGUAGAGACUAAAUUUGACCAAAUUAGGGGCCAAAUUGAAGAAAAUUGAAAGUUUAAUGGUCAAUUAAGGGUCCGACUGCACAAAAUAGAAACUAAGGACCAAGAUUAAAAUGGCGCUGAACUUUGAGGCUGAUGAUUAAGCUGGACAAGAGUGAAAUUACAUGAAAUUAAGAAUUUGAGAGACAAUUAUAGAUGCAAUUAAAACAAAUUUGAAGAAUAGGGACUAAAGUGAAAAUUUUCAAAUCCCAAAUUAAAAACCCUAAUUUCUAGGGUUUAACCUAGACGACGCGUCGUUCGGCCAUUGUUUAGUUUUUUGUUGGAAAUUUUGGUUGAUCGAGUAGGCACCUUAAACAAAUGAAUGUGGCAUUUCCGACCACUUCUAGGACUGUAACCACCACCAUUUAAUUGAGAAACACCCCCUCUACAAAGAUCAACUAUAACCAUCAAGCACUUAUAUCCCAUUUUCUUUAUCGAAUUCAACAACAUCUUGUUUCUAAUUAGCCAUUACUACAUUUUCAGAUUCUCGGAUAAUCAAGUUUGUCACCUUCAAUAAGUGAAUAUGGAGCUACAAACAUCCAAAUUGAACAAGAAUGGACCAAAUCAAAGGUGUGAUUCUCCUUUAUAAAGUUUAGGUGGUCUCCAAUAACAUUUACGUUGGAGUUGCUCUUGCGUGGCCUCAAAAUUGGUCAACUCAGUCAGUCUUGACUAAGAUACCUAUUUGUACAAAACUAUUUGUCGUGUGUUCACACUUAAAAAAUUUUAGAGAGUUCUUAUCAUGGGUCAUAAAUCUUUCAUCCAUAAUCAGAAGAUGAGGGAUGCAUGCCUUUAUCUCCAAGAAAAAGAAAACCUCUUAGGUAAUUUUGUUACAAAACCAUUGUCCCAAAACCAUUAAAAGAUAAAGGUUCUGAUUGUUAACAUUUGUCCAAAACUCUCUCAUUUUGAUCAAAGAGCUCAGCUUUAAUCGAUCUAUAUUUGAAUCCAUCAAAGACCCUAGCAAAACCCUAUAAAUACCCCCUGAAAAAUAAAAAUAAAAAGAGAGAGAGGAAAAACAUGGAAGAAACACAAUAUAAAAAGAUCCUGGUGUGAAGGUUCAAUAGCCUAACAUAAAGGGUCUAACAAGCUUUGGAAAAAAUAUAAUGAAAGGGAAAGAAGUAAAUAAAAGAGAAGGAGAAUAGUUCAUAUAUAGCAAGCUUGGAAAAGGUAUAACCAUGUAGAAAUUCAAGCGUGGAGUCCAUGUGGCCUUCCUUUUCAUGCUUUCUUAAUGUUUAAACCUCUUUUGAUGUUGUUUGAGCUUAUCUUGCAAAUUUUGGUUUGAUUUUGGUGCUAGAAUAAUUUGAUGUUUUUUCAAUAGAGUUUGUUUUGUUAGAUUUCAUUAUGAUAUGAUAAUUUGUUUUGGUCAAUAAUUUGUUAUUGAGGCUUGCACUAAAGACAUGAUUCUUGGUUUUCACACUUGUUUGAUUAUGUGAUUUUAGCCUAAUAGCAUGAUGAUGAUGUAUUUGAGAUAUUUUGAUUGGUGUUUGAAUCUGUUUUGUAAUAAAACAAUAAGUUGUUUUUGGUUGCGGGUUAAAUAUUUUGGAAGCAUGUUGAUUAAUUUGAUGAUUUUAGUGCAAAUUCAUGGUUCAUACAAGUAUGUUUUGGCAUAUAGAUGUUAAAAAUAUCAAGUUUUGAAUCCAAAUAGCAUGAAUAUGCUUCUUGAUUAUCUUUAGUAGUUUUGAACUUUGGAACUUCAUGCAUGUUAUUGAUGACUUUAUUUUAUUUAUUAGUUCUUUGAAUUCAACGAUGCUUAAUAUUGAUAAUAUGGUUUGUAAGGACCAAAAGAAACAUGUUUUAAAAGCCUGAGAGGCUAGUUUUGGGUUUAAUAGUAGGCUGGGAACUUUUAGGUUGCUGGGUUUGGUUUCUUCAUGUUCUUGGAAAGAAAAUUGCCUUAGCACUAUGAUUUAGAUCAACUUUGGUCCCAAUGUUUACAUUAACCAUUCAGGCGACUUGACUAGUAGAUAAUAUAGGGUUUAUUUGCAUUAAUAACAAGUUUCUGGGUUUUUAAUCCUAAGAUUUGAUUUUCAACCGAAACCCAUUUUCACAAAAUCGCGUUAAUUCUUUGAUAAUCAAAGUAAUGGAUGCUAGAUUAUGAAUCAUUGCAUGAUUUCAAAUAAAACAUUGCCCUUGAUUGCAUGAAAACUUGACUAGAUUGAGAUUUGUGUUUGUUAGUUUGUUGAUGAAUACUCUUUGUGUUCUUCAUGAUUUGAAUGUUUGAUCUAUUUUUCUGCAAAUUUUUUUAUGUUUUGUGUUAAUUUUCAACUUUGAUUUUGUUUCAGUUUAAACCUUUGUUUGAGUUUAUUUUUCAGGUCAAACCUUGUUUUUUGGUUCAGUUUAUGGUUAAACUAGUGUCUUUGGGUUGACCCAUUUGGUUUUGUUUUAGGUCAAGUACUUAAGGCUUUGUUUGUUUGAACAACCUUUUGUGAAGGAUAUUUUUGGCCCAAGGGAAUGUUUGGCAAACACACACUUAAGUGCAUUUUGGUAAUUUUUAGGGAAAGAAAAGAUGGUUUUGCCAAACAUUGGCUUAUAGAAAUAAACUAACUAUGUAACUCGCGCUCCGCCGCGGGUUAAAUAAUCAAAAAAUUUUAAAAGAGCUCCUAAACAAAAUAAAAGAGAUGAUGUUUUGUCCUGGUUGUUUCAAAUUUUCAAAUUUCUUGGCUCUUGCUUCACAGUCAGACACAAUCUCAAAAAAGAUUUUAAAAACAUUUAUUUAAAAAAUAAUAGAAAAACAUAGAAAAAAAUUUAAGUAAAGAAAAAAAUUAAAAAUUUUCAAGACACAAUCUCAAUAUAUAUUUUGAAAAAAAAAUAUUUUAAAAAUAAUACAAUAAGGGCCCUUUCUUACUCCAUUAAACGUUGCUUUGUAUUAUACUUUUGCCGAUGUUUUAAUUGCCUUUUCCAUUUUUUGAGAAAUUAUUUUAAAAGGAAAACUCAAAAAAUUUGGUUUUGUUCAUGAAAACUAAAACUUUCAAUGCAAUCAUCAUAUUUUGUUUCUUUAAGCAACUCUCAUAAAAGGUGUUUCAAAAGUUCUAUGAUGAUACCCCUUUGGGCUUUGGUUCACUAUAAACCCCUAUGUGCACUUUUUACCCCUUAGUGUGGUGUGCAAUACCUAUCAGGUUUAAAUUUGGUUUGGAUCCCUUCAAUUUGAGAAUUGAUGGAGUCAUCUUUUUAGUCAUGUGUAAAAACAGUUCUUUUAAGUAAAAGAUUUUGAAUGCUAUGAGAUCAUGCGCUUUAUGAAGAAAAGGUUCUUUAUAGAGAGAAGUCACGGCCGAACUUUAUUUUAUGGAUCGGGAAGCAUAGUAUUUCUUUAUAGAGUCAGAAUUUACAGGUCUAACUAGAUCUUCUCCAUCCAUUCUAGAUAACAAUAAAGCUCCUCCCAAGAAUGCUUUCUUUACCAUGUAAGGGCCCUUAUUGUUUGGCGUCCAUUUACUCUGAUCUUCUCCUGGUAAAGGCUAUAUUUUCUUCAGUACAAGAUCUCUUUCAUGGAAUCCUCGAGGUCAGACCUUCUUAUCAUAUGAUUUGGUCAUCCAAGAUGAUGACAGAUUGCAGUUAUCCUCUUUUUACUGAUCAGAUUCAACUAUUCAUAUCUAACUUUUAUCCAUUCCACCUCUUCUAAACUCAAAGUCUACCAAUACUCUUAAUGAGGGGGUUUCCACUUCUAAAAGCAUCACCGCCUCCAUUCUAUAUACCAAAGUGUACGGGGUGGCUCCUGUUGAAGUUUGAAUUGUGGUGUGGUACACGUGAAGGGCAAAUGGCAACGUCUCAUGCCAAUCCUUAUAGGUGACAACCAUCUUCUAUAUAAUCUUGACAUUUUCGUUAUCAGCUUCUACUGGACUAUUAAUCUUUGGCCUAUAUGGCGAGGAAUUGAAAUGUUUGAUUUUCCAUUUAGCGAAGAGUUCUAUUAUCAUCUUGCUAUUGAAGUUUUGGACAUUAUUAGUUAUAAUAUUUUCUAGUGGACCAUAUCGACAGAUCAAAUCUCUUUCCAUAAAUUUCUUUACCACAUUUUGCCUCCACGUCAUCCAAACAUCUCAACAAAGUUCUGUCAGAUGAUUUCUUAUACAAAAUUUCCCCAUCAAGAUAGAAAUCCAUUGCCAACCUCCUCAAAGUCUUCUUGUUGAUUUUGGAUGCCCCCAUGGGAUAUGUCUGGUUUUGGAUGAAAUUCUUAAUAUCAUAGUACCAAGGGUUUUCAUCUAUUUCUCUUUCAACUAAGCAACAAUGAGCUGGGUUAUUUCUGGUAUCAAUGUGUACCGGUUGUACCUUGUGCCCAAAGUCUAUUCUAGCCAUAGAAGCUAAUGUGACCAAAGCAUCAACAAAAUGUUUUCCUUCCAUUCCUAAAUGGGUGAACUUUAUUUCCCCAAAUUCUCUAGCCAAUUUAGACAGGUAUUCUUGGUAAGGUCUCAACUUCUCGUCCUUGGUUUGCCCUUUUCCUUUCACUUGGAAAAUAAUCAAAAUUGAGUCUCCAUACACAUCUAUCUUUCUAAUAUCCAGCUCCGAUGCCACCUCUAAAACGAGAAUGCAAGCUUCAUACUCCUAUGUUGUUAUUGCACCCAAACUGCGACUUAACUGAAACCGGAUACUAUUUCUUAUCAGGAGAUAUUAGCACUGCCCCCACUCCGUUACCACAGCACCAUCAAAAUACAUAAUCCACCAAUCUGAUUUCCCUUCCUCGACUGAAAGCACAUCUUCAUUAGGAAAAUCAAAUUUUAACGGCUUAUAAUCUUACAUAGCAUGGUCGGCCAGGUGAUUGGCAAUAACACUCCCUUUCAUAGCUUUCCUUGUCAUAUAUAUUAUGUCGUACUUUGCCAGUAGAAAUUGCCAUUUUGCAAUUCAGCUUGAUAGAUAGGGGUGGAUUCAGUAGGUAUUACUUGAUUUUCUCGAAAGCUUCUUCACACUCUUAUUCCAAAUUCCGAGAUUCUUCUUCCUUAACAAUCGAAGAUUGAGUCACAAGUCGUGGUUAAUUGGGAUAUAAACCGGGUAAUGUGAUUCAGUUUUCCUAAGAACCCUCUUACAUCCUUCUCAGUCCUAGGAGUUGGCAUAGAUUGAAUAACCUUUACUUAACUAGGGUGCACUUCUAUUCCUUUAUCACUCAUCAUAAAUCCCAACAACUUCCUAGAUUUCACCCUGAAUGAACACCUUACAUGGUUAAGCCUCAACUUGUACUUCCUUAGUCUUUCAAAUAAUUCCUUCAAUAUUUGGACAUGAUUCUCUCCCUCUCUAGAUUUAGCAAUCAUGUCAUCCACGUAUACUUUAAUCUCUUUUUGCAUCAUGUCGUGAAAUAGAGCCACCAUGGCCCUUUGGUAGGUGGCCUCGACAUUCUUUAACCUAAAUGACAUGACCUUGUAGCAAAAGGUUCCCCAUAGUGUUACAAAGGUUUCUUCUCCUUAUCCUCUUGCGCCAUUUUAUCUUAUUGUAGCCCGAAAACCGGUCUAUAAAGGAAUAUAUGGGGCUACGAGUUGCAUUGUCAACCAACAUAUCUAGGAGUGAUAAAGGAAAAUUGUCUUUAAGGUUAGUCCGGUUUAAGUCCCUAAAGUCCACACAAACUCUAAUUUUAACUUCCUCUUCGGGUACUACCACUAUGUUGGACACACAUUGCGGAUACUUGACUAUUUCUAGAAAACUAGCAUUCCACUGCUUUUCAAUUUAUGUCUUUACCUUGAUCAAGACAUUCAGAUUGGUCCUUCUCAACCUUUGUUUAACCGAUUUGCAUCCUUCUACUAGUGGAACCCUAUACAAACCAGGCAUAUCCUUAUAGGACCAGGAAAAAAUCUACAUAAUCUUGGAAUAGUGCAAUCAACUUUUCUCUUUCUUUAGGGGUGAUCAAAGUUAUUAUCUUCAACUCUCUCUUGAUUUUUCCAUUGCCUACGUCUUUGGUUUCAAAUUCCUCUUUAGCGGGUUUCCAAGUUUGUUCAUGUUGUUCUUAUUAAUUUUUGUGAAUCCUUUAAUGUUAUUUUCCUCUCAUUCUUCUUCUUCUACAACUAAUAUGUGUUCUUUAAAGUUCGGCCAUUCAUUCUCAGUGUAAAGUGCAGGUGUUGUUAUGAAAGAUCCAUUUUGAAAACGGAAAGUGACGUGUAAAAACAUCAAGAUGAACUUUUGAAAAUGCAUGAUCUCAUUAAAAGGAAAAAGUUUGGCUAAAAAAAAACAAGGAUAAAAUCCAAUUGACAUUUGGAACCUCGAUUUAAAAAGGUGAAAAAGGCAAACAACACAAUAUCAUAAUCAAACAAGCAUUGUUGAUUAAAUUUUGAACACCAAUAGAGCUUCUUGGGUCUCCCAAUUCUGGAACAUCUCUCCCUUUGCUAGCUUUUGAAUGAAGGUCUUGAGAUUCAAGAUGCUUUGAGCUUAGGCUUGUUUGGAUGCAAAAAGAUAUUAUGGAGCAUACAUCCUAAGGAUAGGUUCUAUUUCCUUUAUGUGAGACAUUGGGUAGGUUUACUACUUGGUCUCUAAAGUGGGUCUCUUGCUGUCCUAGUGAUCACUCUCGUAAAGGCAAUAUGGGGAUUCAGCAGAUAGUGGGAUGGCACAUGUACCAAUCACUAUCAGUUUAAACAUUCAGCAAAGAGUUGGGGUUUACACAAACUUAAACCUUGACUCAAGUCAUAAGGCAAGCUGCUAGUCCCCCACUUAACUUUAAAUUUAAUGUGUGUGCUCUCCAAAAAGAAAAUAAUGAUAAAGUGAUGAAUGACUACAUCAUGUAUGACAGAAUGUAAAGAUGCAUGCUAAAGCUUUUAAACAAAUUAUCAUUCAUAGUAAAAAAAACAACAACACAUAGCAUAAUAAAAAAAACAAUUACCAAGCUUAGUCCAAGGGUCCCCAGCGGAGUCGCCAUCCUGUCACACCCUCGCGCGGCAUCUAAUGGCGAUUUUCGAUUGAUUUUGGUUUUUUUGUUUCGUGCAUAAAGGAGUCGCCACCUAGUAUUAUGGUCACUAGGAACCUUGACUGGUCUUUCAGAGAUUCUAAAGCAAGGGACUGGUUGCGUAAAGGGAAGGUAUUAGCACCCCUAGUACGCCCUACCUAAGGUAAGCUGCUUGGUGCUUGGUUUGGCUUAUAAUUGCUAUGGUGUUGGUGUUUUCUAAUCCCAUCAAUUUUUCUAGAUUUGAUUCAAACUAAAUUUAUUAAGAUAGAAAUCCAAGGAGAUUCCAUGUGCUUUAAAAGCUCAUUUUUCCUUUAGUAUUUCAAGAGUUUGCGACUGGUAAAUUGCAAGGGGGACGGACAAAAAUUUAGAAAUCUAGGGCACUUUAAAAGCCUAUUUUUGCCUUAGUGUUUUUUUUUACUCUCACGGCUCGUAAACAGUGGAGUAAAAAAUUGAAAUGUCCUCGAUUAUAAUCAAGGCUUCUUUCAAGGAUGUGCGAUGACUUAUUAUCCCUAGAAAAUUAUUUUGGAUAUUUACCACUUAGGGUUUUCUUUAUCCAAAUAUUAACAGCGAAUAAUAACAAGUUAUUCCCAAUAAUAUUUUGGAUAUUCAUCUCUUUGAGAUUUCUUUAUCCAAACAUUAACGGUGAAUAAUAACAAGUUAUUCCCAAUAAUAUUUUGGAUAUUCAUCCCUUUGGGAUUUCUUUAUCCAAAUAUUAACGGUGAAUAAUAGAUGAAUUCCCCCAAAAUAAGAUUUUUGUAUUUUUUGAAAUAUUGGCCAAUACCCUUUGGAGUUUUACAAACAUGUUGUAAAAUCCAGAAAUGCAAGAAAAUAAUUUUUGUUGUGUUUGAGAAAUCCAUGCGAAAACACAUUUUCAAAACUUCAAGUAUUUGUUUUUUUUAAGAGGAAAUUCAAAAGGAUAUUAGGGUAUUGGCCGUAUGCAACACACAAAAAUAUUUUUUUAUAUUUUUAUAUCAGGAAAAAAAAAACAUCAUAGUUAAUCGCAAUUAAAGACAACAAAACCCAACCCGGUUACUGGUUCUGCCACAGUUACAUGCAUAUGCAUGCUACAGUUGCAGUAAUUAAUUUGGUAAAGACAGGGAAAGAAAGACUUACCUGCGAGGCAGCGAAAAUUCAAAAUGCACAGUAACAGGGUGAAUUACAUUUAUGCAUGCAUAGAGAUGAAGAGAGCUUAGCAGGGACGAAGCUGGUGCUCGGGGAUUUAUUUCCAAGCUCAACCCGGUUACUGGCUCAAACCAGUAACCAGUUCUGGUGCAGGGAUGAAGCUGGUGGGUGGCGUCGACCGGGAUGAAACAACUGGUCUCAUUGCUGGGCUGCUGCUUCGGCUAAUACCUGUUCCUAUGGAAGAAAAACAAAAGUUGCACCGCUUGAGGAGAAGAAACUGGAGACGGAACGAAGGGACACAGGCGAUGGUGAAGGCGUGCUGGUUGGUCUCUCUGUGUUUUCGUCUGUUUAUCUUCUUUCCUUCUGCUCGUCCUUCCUCUCAUUCGCGUCUGUCUUGUCUCUACUGAGAAGAAAUGGUUGCUGUUGUUGUGGGACUCGGUGGAGGCCGGUCUGGGGCUAAGUUGACAGAGAGGGCUGCUUCGGGUGCAGGGGAAGAAAUGGCUGGGGGGCUGUGGUUGGCCAGGAGAGGGAAGAUGAGAGGGAAGACGGCAGCAGCUGAGUCUGUUGAGAGAGAUGAGGGAAGAGACGGGACGACUGGUGGGAGAGACUGAGAGUUUGUGUUGAUAGCCGGCUAUGGGGGGUUUGUUUUGGGGCUGAGGGGACAGGAAAGCUUUUGGCUGGCGAGAGGGGAAAAUGAAACCGAAGGGAAAAGGCUGGAAUCGGGGAGAAGGGAGUGUUGGUGCUGUGGUCGGGUGUCUGUGGGGUAAGUGGCUGAGAUGGAGAAAUGGAGGGGCUCGCUGGUGGCUGACUUGGGAGAAGAAGAUGGGGGAAUGGUUUGUUUGGCUGGCGGCAGAGAAAGGAGAGUGCAGGGGCAGUGAGCGGGGCUGUUGGAUGGAGAAGAGGAAGGCUUCUGCUGGUUCACGGAAGCAAAAAUCAAAAGCAGGGAGGGCGGCUCUAUUUUUUUUUCUUUUCAAAGGGAGGCAGCGACCAGAAGAGGAAGAUGAAACGAGUUUAGGGUUUUUUUUUGUGUUUGGCUCCUCUUUUCUGAAAAAUUACUCCCUUUUGAAUAUUUUUUCUCCGGGUGUAUAUGGUUGGAGGUUCACUUAUAUAGAAAAUCUCUAUAUGUGCUAUUUAGAGAAAUAUUACAAUAAUUAUUACAGAGAUUGUCUUCUAUAACCAGCACCAACAAAUCCUAUAUAUAUGGUAUUUUAUAUUGCAGUGAUUUUUUUCCAUAACCAGCACGAAUCAAAUCAUAUAUCUAUGGUAUUUUAUAUUGCCGUAAUUAUAUAUGAUUCAAUAAUUAUCUCCUUCACACAUUGCUUCCUUAAUAUUAGCCCUAAUGCUUUAUGUUAUCGCCACAUGUAAACCCUUAUUAUUAUUUUAUUAUUAUUUUUAUUUUGAAAAAUUUAUCAAAACGUUGGUAAAAAAUCGGGUAGCAACAAGGAGGACCUAAUGUCAUUGGGUCCUGGUGUUAGCAGUACCCAAUAGCCCACAGUUAACCACUCUGUUGGGUCUCCCAGUAGCUCUGGGAAGACAAGGGAAAGCCCCCAGCAUUAAAUUUUGACCAAAACCAUAGCAGGGUAUGACCCCCAGGGUGUAUGGCUGCUGGGUUUGGCUGUGCAACCAUACCCAAUAUCCUUGGGUAUUGUUGCGCAGCCAAACCCAACACCUUUGGAGGGUGUUGGGUCCUGCACCUGAUCAAAAUAGCUAUAGUAUAAGUAAUCCAUCCUAGGGACAUCGGCAUAGGAAGAUUGAAAAAAAAAAAACAAUUGAUUUCCUUUGGUAGAUGGAUUGGAAAUUCAUGUUAUCACGUAUGUGAGAAUUCAAUCACCCAUACCUCUCUAUAUCUCUGCACAUCGUAAAUAUAUAUAUCUUUUUCACUACAGUAUAACACCACCAUUGAAUAUUAAUGCAAGACCAUUGAUCAAUAAGGACGACUGGCUUCCAAACCCAACAACCAUACCCAAUUAAAUUUCUUUGUCGUUGCCUUCUCUGAUUUAAAUUUAUGUUUCAAAAUAAAUUGAUGAGAUUUUUUUUAUAUUGUAUAAAACUUGAGUGAUAAUAAUUUUUUCCGGUUUUAGGUUGGGUUGAAUUUCCUAAUUAAAUCAUGCUUGAUUUUGCAUUUCAAAAAUUCCUUGAAAUUUUUUUGAUAAUUUUUAAUUUUUUUUUCUUUGCUUGAAAUUAAUAUUUUUUUUAUGUUUUUGUAUUAUUUUUUUUAAAAAAAUAUGUUGAGAUUAUGUCUGGCUGCGACGCCAAACCCAAGAAAUUUUAAAAUUUUUAAUUUUUUUUACUUCAAAAUAUUAUUUUCUCCAUGUUUUUGUAUUAUUUUUUAAAUAGCUUUUUUAACAAAUAUAUUGAGAUUGUGUCUAGUUGAGAGGCGAGGCUCAAGAAAUAAAAAAAAAUUUCAUUUUUUUAUUUACUGCAAAUUAAUUUUCGUUUGAUAUUUUUUUCUUCACUUCAAAUUAUUUAGAUCAUGUUUGACUUUGCAUUUCAAAAAUUAUUUGAAAUUUUUUUGACAAUUUUGAAGUUUUUUUUCUUUACUUAAAUUAUUUUUAUGUUUUUGUAUUUUUUUUAAAUGUUGGCAUUGGGUUUGUCUGCAAUGUUAGACCCAAGAAAUUUUCAAAUUUUAAUUUUUUUCUUUCCUUCAAAAUAAUAUUUUUUUUUCAUGUUUUUAUAUUUUUUUUAAAAUAUAUUUUUUAAAAAAAUAUUGAGAUUUUGUCUUGCUCGUUUGUGGGGCCUCUAAACCCAAGGGCGGUUAGAACAGACCUCGACGGCUGGGUCUGCACCCAGCGCGCAGGUCCAGAGGCCAGGAGCGCGGGGUUGCAGACCCUGCCUCGCUGGUCUGCAGACCCCAGGGUUGCAAGGCUGCACACUCGCUCGCACUGGGAUGCAGCCAGGCGCGCGGGUCUGCCCUAACACCUAAGGCAUGGCAGGCCCCGUGCUAGGUGUCUGCAUGCUAGGCCCUUGGGCAACCCUAGUGCCAAGUGGCAGCAGCCUAGAGCACGAGCAGGCACACGUGGCCUGCCCCCCUCCUGGGCCUGACACCCUAAGCGCCAAGUGUCCCCAGCCUUAGGGGUUGUGCGUCCAGCCAGGCAUUUGGGGCCUACACUAAUAUUUUUUUCAAAAAUUAUUUUUUAACAAUAACAAUAAUAAUAAUGAUGAUAUUUGUUAUUAUAUUUUUUUUUUUUUGCAAUUUCCUUCUAUUUUUAAUAUUAAUACAAAUAAUAAUAUUUAGUAAUAAUAUUUUUUUUAACAUUCAAUGAAAUUAAAAAUCAAAAUAUUUAGAAUAAAAAUAACAAUAUUUAGACUACGAAUAAUAAUAUUUAUCACAUUAAUAAUAAUAUGAAACUUGUUUGACCAAAGUUGAUAAAAUAAUAUAUAUUUUUUUAAAAAAUUAUUAACAAUAAUAAUAACGAUAAUUGUUGUUAUAUUGUUUUUUAAAAUUUUUUCUAUCCUUAACAUUAAUACUUUUAAUUACAAUAAAGAUAAUAAUAUUUAGAAUACAAAUAAUACUAUUUAUCAUAUUAAUAAUAAUAUCUACAGUAAUAAAUUUUUUUAUGAUAAUUAACAAUGAGACAAUAAUAAUAAUAAUAAUUGCUAUUGUAUUUUUUCCCCCUGCAGGGUCUGCCGAUCUAACCGUGCGAGCCUCUAAACCCAAGGGCGGUUAGAACAGACAUCGGCGGUCGGGUUUGCACCCAGUGCGCGGGUCAGGAGGCUAGGAGCCGGGGUGCAGACCCUACCUCGCGUGUCUGCAGACCCCAGGGUUGCGGGGCUGCAGACCCGCUCGCCGUGGGGCUGCAGCCAGGUGCACGGGUCUGCCCCUAGCACCUAAGGCGUGGCAAACCCCGCGCCAGGUGUCUUCAUGUUAGGGCCUCGGCCAGCCCUAGCAUCAAAUGGCAGCAGCCUGGGGCGCGCGCAAGCGAGCGUGGGCAACCCAACGCCCAGGCUAGUUAGCCCAAGGUGGUGUGCAUCCACCCAGGCGCUUGGGGCAUGCAAUAAGAUUUUUUUCAAAAAAUGUUUUUUAAAGAAUAAUAAUAAUGAUAAUUGUUAUUAUAUUUGUUUUUUUCAAUUUUCAUCUAUUCUUAAUAUUAAUACAUUUAAUUAAAAUAAUAAUAAUAAUAAUAAUAAUAAUAGUUAGUAUACAAAUAAUAAUAUUUAUCACAUUAAUAAUAAUAUGAAACUUGCUUGACCAAAGUUGAUACAAUAUUAAUAAUAAUAUGAAACUUGCUUGACCAAAGUUGAUACAAUAUUAAUAAUAAUAUUUAUCACAUAUUUUAUCAAAUUAUUUACAAAUAAUAAUAUAUGUUUUAUGUUUGAAAAUCCAUUUUUUAUAUACUCACAUCAAAAUAUUCAUUCGUGUAAAAAGGAAAUAAUAAUAUUAAUUUUUCUUUUCUUUUCUCUUAUUUUUUAUAUGAAUACUUUUUUUUAUAUAUUUUUGAUAUUUCUUUUCUUGAAUUUUCUUAUUAAAGAAUGUUUGUUUUUACGUUUCAAAAAUGCUUUGAAAACAUUUUGAAAAUUUUUAAUUGUUUUCUUUACUUCAAAUUAAUAUUUUUUAUGUUGUAUAUUUUUUUUGGUCUGGCUCCAUUGCUGCGUUUUUAUUAUAAUUCUAAUUAUAAAAUAAUAAUAUUUAUAAUAAAAAUAAUUAUAUUUAGAAAGCUAAGACCCAAUUAUCUUGGGUCGUGACGUAGGACCCAUUACCCUUGGGUCCCGACGCGGGACCUAAAAGAAUUGGGUCUUGACGCAUGACCCAAUUCUCUUGGGUUCUUGGGUCCGGUGGCAGGACCUAAGAGAAUUAUAAUAAAAAUAAUAAUAUUUAUAAUACAAAUAAUAAUAUGUUUAAUGUCAAUAACAUUAAUUAUAAUAAACAUAACAAUAUUUAUAAUACAAAUAAGAAUAUCUUGAAUUUCAAUAACAGUAAUUAUAAGAAAAAUAAUAAUAUUUUUCAUUUAUUAAUUAUUAUAUGAAUAAUAUUAAUUAUAAUAAAAAUAAAAAUAUUUAUAAUACAAAUAAUAAUAAUUUUAAUGUUAAUAAUAAUAAUAAUAUAAUAAUAAUAAUAAUAAUAAUUAUUAUUAUUAUUAUUAUUAUUUAUAAUACAACUAAGAAUAUUUUUUAAUAACAUUAAUUAUAAUACAAAAGUGUUAAUAUUAAAAAUAUUAUCAUUUUUAUUAUAAUUAAAAAUAUUAUUAUUUGUAUUAUACAUAUUAUUAUUUUUAUUAUAAUUAAUAUUAUUCAUAUAAUAAUUAAUAAAUUUGGGAAAUUUAUUAUUAUUAUUAUUAUUAUUAUUAAUAAAUUUUUAAAAUACUAUUAUUACAAUUGAAGAAAAACAUCAUUUUUGUAAAGAUUUAAAAAUAUAAUUCAAAGAAUUCAUAUAAAAAAUAUAAUUAUUUGUAUUAUAAAUAUAAUUAUUUUUCUUAUAAUUCAAAGUAUUCAUAUCAAAAAAUUUAUUAUUUGUGUUAUAGAUAUAUUAUUUUAAUUAUAAUUCUAAGUAUUAAUAUAAAAAUAUUAUAAUUUGUGUUAUAAAUAUUCUUGAGUUUGUUAAUAUAACUAUUUGUGUUAUAAAUAUUAUCAUAACAAAUAAUCAAGCGCCAAGCGCCCUAAGGCUGCAUCCAAGCAUGCGGGUCCGACCAUAGCGCUCAAGGUUGGUCACACCUUGUGCCAGGUGUUUGCAUGCUGAGGCCUCGACCAGCCAUAGCUCCAAGUGUUUGCUGCCUGGGGCCGCGACUAGGGGCGCGUGGCUGGCCCCAACACCCUGGCUUGGCUACCCAAGCACAAGGUGUCGACAGUUUGAUCUAAUUAAAUGUCGCCUUUGCCGCUACAUCACUCCCAUCUUAAUGACAAAAGUCAAAUGAACCACCCUAGCCGCAAUUCUUGACUAAAAACACAGGUAAGGAACACACCCCAAGGUGCUAUAGUGUCGUCCACAGUUCAUUGUAUCUUGGGCCAUAGUGCAUGUACAGUAGAAAAUCCUCAUUUGUGUUAAGACAUAGCAAAGCAACUAUGUAAGUUUUAAUACAUAGCAAAACAAUUGUGCAAGUCCACAGUUAAUUGUCUCUUGGUCCACAGUGCAUGAAGGUACAGUAAGUCCACAGUGAAUUAUCUCUCAGUCCACAAUGUAUUCAUGUAUAGUAGAAAACCCACGUGUUUUAGAGUUCUGUUAAUAAUAAAAAAAAAUAGAAAAUAAUUUUGAUAUGUUGCAUACGUCUCAAUCCUUACAUAACAUUGCAAUUUAUUUAUAAAAAGGAGGGGAACAUGUUUUUAGCAUUGGAAUUUUUUUUCAUUUUUGUAAUUUACAAUAAGUUUUUAAAAUUCCUUAAGGAUUUGGCCAAUAUUUCAAUAACCCUAAAAAUUUUAAUUUCUAAAAAUUAAAGGUCAACAUUCUGGUAUAAAUGUUAGACCUACCAGUAGGCUAGUAUUUAAGUACCAGAAGUUAACAAGAAAAUUUUUAGAAUUAUUUUGGAUAUUCAUCAAUUUUAAUUGUGAGUAUUUUUUCAUCACAAUAUAUGAGUUGUGAAAAACAUUUUCGCCUUUCAGGAUAGGUGACUCUUAUCAGAGCACCUACAUGAAUUUUUUUAUAAUAAUUUACCUAAGUAUACGAGCCCAUAAUAAAUUUGAAAUGUCAGAUUUAUUUAUGGGAGUAAUUUUUUUUUCUGAGCCAUAAAUGGGCUACCGGUUAGGAACUCAUCAACACGUUUAAACCACAUCAUGACAACACAAUACAACUUACCUCAAGUAAGGAUGCUAAUACCUUUUUCUAACUAAUUCUAGUCACUUACCCUAAAAUUUCAGAUAAAAUCAGUCUACUUGGGUCUUCUAAUGACUCUGAACCACAUAACUAGGUCGAGACUCCUUAAUCUCGAUGCUGCAACACCGCGCGCACAUGGGCGACACCAUUCAUGCUUGAUUAAUCAUCCAUGUGAAUUAUUAGGUUUCGAAUAUGUUGGCACAAAUAUAAAUCAUAAUCCUAUUCAUAACAAGAUUAAAUAAAUUAAGCAAUUUAACUUACUAUCAAUCCAACAAAUUGAUAAAUUUAUAUUUAAAUAUCAAAUGCAACAUACCAUGAUCUCUUAAAUCUUAUCCCAGUAUAAAACAAAUGUGAGUAUAUGAACCCAUGAAGUGGUAUCAGAAUCUAUUUUCCUAUUAUUAUUAACAAAACGGAAAGCCAUAACUUACUGUUUGUACUAUAUAAUAUUGGGAUUGAGAAGUACAAUGUCCAGAAUGCUUUUCAGGAUAACCAUAUGUUCACAUCCAUGAAUCUCAAUGGAUUUCCCUUAUAUAUUACACAUUGAAAAAAUAAAAUAUUUAUCUAGUAUUUAUAUAAUAAACUUUGAUACAAGAUAAUAAUCAAAACAAAAGGGAAAGUGGACAUGCCUGUACAAGGUUGAGCCGGGCAAGAGGAAAACUUCUGAUUGCUCUCUGGCGUAUGAGGCAAUGCCUAUACUUUCUGAACCUUUUGUUUCUAGCAAUAAUUUGUUUUUAGCUCUUAAACUGAAACCAUAAUUUUUUUAAAACUUAGAAUUAAUUUUCUAUUAGUCACAAAAUCCUAACAACUCUUUUAUUUUAAAAUGUUUUUACAACUCUUUAACUUCCUAACAACUCUUUUAUUUUUUUGAACUGUUAUAACAACCUUUUAAUUUUCUAAUUUAUUUUCUUCCUAGUUGUUCCAUGUUAACAACCUAUAUAUACCAUGCACUCUUACAAUCAAAGUGUGCUGAAAAAACCAUAUUAUUUUUAUGUAUUUGCAAAGCUUGCUGGCAUUUCCUUUCGAUCUUGGUCUAGCUGUUUCUGUAACCCUUGUUUUUUUAAAAAACCUUGUUGAAUUCUAGAAUAUAAUGUUGAGAAAAUAUCUUUAAGGACAAUUUUGUGCAUGCCUCAAGUUUUAUUUUAUUUCUAUUCUUCAUCGUAUUUUAUUACAACAUCUAGGACAUCCUUAAGUAAAUAUCCUUAAGUAAAUAAAGAAAGCUAGAAUAAAGUGCCUUCACUGAUUAUUUAGCAUUACUGAGCAGGCCAGGUCUUCACUGCUUAUUUCCUAAUAAUUCCUUACUGUGGAAUUGCACUUACAAAUAAAGAACUUGUUCUUGAUAUUUUCGUACGGAAUUUCUCUCUCGAUGAGUCGGUCAAUAAAGUAACUUCGUUAUUCGGAUUAAUUUGAGGCCGGCCAUGAGAUGGAGAGGUUUUGUCACAUUAAUUAUAUAUGUCAUGUUACUUAGGUUAAAUAGAAUAAGAAAUAAAGAUAUAGGUUAAAAGGAAAAGUUAGUUAUAUGGAAUCAGAUUCACCAUUAAACUGAAGAGUCUCAUCGAUUCUACGAAACUUGUCGGAAGGAAUCAUUUGUUCAACAAAUCUUAAAUUUUUACUUGAGAUUCCGAAAGCCCAUCUCUAUGGAGGAGCUCUUUGGCAAUUCAUCCUCUAAGUGGAUUUCCUCGAAUUAAGAUGAGAAGAUCCGGCUUCAGCCAAUUCUGUUGUUUUUCUUGAUUUUUCAAGAUUUCAUGUUUUAUUUUGGAUUUUCCAUUGUUUUUCAAAUUAAAGAAACCAAGAUAAAAUACCCUGAAUCUUCUUUCAUAAUUUGCUUUCGAGAAGGUUUGGUGUUUUUGCUACUUUUACUUUUGGACCUGACUUGAUUCCUGACCGGUAGAAACAGCAUUAGUCCAAAAGAAGGGAAGCUUUUGUUUUUCUUGAAUCACAUGAUCUGAUAUUAUCAUUUAUGCCCAACACAAAUUCAUAAAAGUGGCUCUAAUGAUUGGCUGACAACAGUUGUUAAUGAGCAGUGUUAUUUUUCAGUUUACUAAGUAUUUAGAACAUUCAAUUCCAAUCCAAAGUCGAUAAUAAUAAACUCUUGGUGAUAGUUUUGUCAUCGAUGGUGAUCGGACGACAAAAAAACUAGAAUGAAUGGAGAUACCGUUAUUUUAUCACUGUAAAAAUAUGGAGUUGGUUUUUAAUGGGUCACGAGUCACAAAGACGAAAACAAGCUUCGCCAUAGAGAAGAAUACACAACUACUAGUCUACUAAUGACUUAAUAGUCUAUGUUUUCCCGAUGGACAUGCCUCGAACAUAUCAAGGUUAGUUAAUUUGCAGGAAUGCAGAUUGUAUGGAAUGAAGAGUCAUGACUGCCAUGUGUUCAUGCAAACACUCAUUCCAUUAGCUUAUCGUGAUUUAUUGCCAAAAGGGAUAUGAGAUGCACUCACGCAGAUCAAUCAUUUCUUUAGACAUAUAUGCGCCAACAAGUUGCACACACAUCACAUUGAGAGGCUUGAAACGAAUAUCGUCGAGAUAAUAUGCAAACUUGAGAUGAUAUUCCCUCCAUUAUUUUUUGAUUCGAUGGAGCAUCUACCCAUACAUUUACCGUACGAGGCAAAAGUUGGAGGCCCAAUCCAGUAUAAAUGGAUGUAUUUAUUUGAGAGGUUAGAUAUUAUAGAUGCAACGUAAUGAUUAAUGUAUUUUCAUUUUUUUUAUUAAUUGAAAAUAUUUAUUUAAUUCAAUGUAGGUACUUGUUUAAUCUUAAGAAAAAAGGUUAAGAACAAGGCAUAUGUAGAGGCUUCGAUAUGUGAGGCCUAUAUUAUUGAGGAGAUCUCAACAUUUAUCUCGUACUAUUUCGAGCCUCAUUUGAGAACGGGAAUCAACCACAUUCCACGACAUAAUGAUGGUGGUGAAGUGCCUUCAAGUGGGAACUUGUCAAUAUUCUCCAAUCUUAGAUGACCCACACCUAAAAAUGUUGUAAGGAGAAGUUAUUUUUCUGAAAUAGAGUUCCAAUAAACACACAAUUAUAUGCUAUUUAAUUGCGAUGAAUUGAGACCUUUUAUUCAGUAAGUAUAUAUACUACUUAAACUUUGUUAUAAAUGGACUAUUUAUCUAUUGUAAUAUCACAAACUCAUACAAUUUUGAAAACCUUGUAGGCAACAUCGACAAUAUUUAUUGUCUAAUAACUCACACCUGACCAAAUCUCAAAUCUUUAGAUUACAAGAUGAACAAUUUGCCACGUGGUUCAAAACACAUGUAAGUACUAUCACAAACUCAUUAUCUAUCAUGGUACUUAAUUUCAUUACAGAAUUCUUGUUUACUGUUCAUUGAUGUACUUGAUGUACAAGGUUUAUCAAAUGGGAAGGAAUGCUAGUAUUUCAUUAUCUUUACUAAGCUUGGGUCCUGAAAGAAAAGUGAAGUGCUACAAUGGGUAUUUUGUCAAUGGAUAUGUGUUUCAUACCGAAGAAUACUGGCAUGAAAGAAAGACAUAUAACAGUGGUGUUUGUGUUAAGGGAUUGACUUGUAAUGAAUUUGAAGUUGACUAUUAUGGUAAAUUAGAAGAUGUCGUUGAAUUGCAAUAUCAUAGCGAGCAUAAUAAAGUGUUUUUAUUCAAAUCUUAUUGGUAUGACACCACUGAUAGAGGAAUCACAAUAGAUCCCUACUAUGGUCUGAUCGAAGUUAACUCCAAAGCUAGACUCCACAACGUAAACGAUGUCUUUAUUUUCGCCAAGCAAUGCCAGUAAGUUUAUUACACAUACACCCCUUCCAUUAGAAAUGAUCGAUCAAGAGUUAAUUGGUAGAAAGGCUAGGGGAGUGAGACAGGUUUGGGUUGGUGCUGGUCUAAAGGAAAGAACAAAAGGCAACGGGUUUAGGGAAAAAUGUAAUCUUUGCUGGCUGCUAGGUUUUAGUAUAAUGGGGCUAGGCUUUUUUUUUUUGGACCAUGAGGAAGAAGGAGAUAAGUGCAGGGAAGAUUGAAGAUGAUAAGUGUAUGGAAGAUGGAAUGGGUAAAGGUCAUGUUUUUUUUUUUUUUGCAUUUUUUUUCUAGAAAUAGAAGGUUUGUUUCUAGUGAUUUUUUGUUAGCCUCUUUAACUAAUUCACUCCUUUUUUUUUUUUUGCUAAUGCUCUCUACCCUAAAACCCCCCCUUUUUUUAUGUAGUGCAACCACUUAUUUAUAGGCAAAACAAGUUUGUUUUUUUCAAUUGCUUGGUCUCCAAGCAUACUUAGUGACCAAGUUAACCCAAAAAUAAUUUAGUCCCUCAAUUCUUUCUUUUCACAUUUGGUCCCUUUGUUCAAUUUGAUUUUUCUUUUUUUGUAUUUUGAAUUUUUUUGAAAAAGAGCAAUAUCAAUGUUGACUUAAUAAGCGCAUUAACAACUGAAUGUGUUGAACAUAGAUUUUUGUAUUUUAAAUUCUUUGAAAAAGAUGUUGAAAAUGACGCAAAGACAUUAAAAACAAAUUUUUUUUGGGUUUUUUUUAAAUCUUUUAAAAUGGAGUAAAAAUAUUAAACAGAUGCCUCCUCUUUACAAUACUUAUGGAACAAAGACUUGUUAAGUUCUUGACUAACAAACUGUUCUUCUCAAAGCUUUUAGUUCGGUUGACCUGAAACUUUGUUUUCGCAGCAAUCCCCAUCAACGGAAACUACGAUCAAACUGUGUACAACUUGGUUAUCUUGAAAUCCCAAUCUAGUGAUUUUCUUAAUCCAAAACCAAAAUCAUUGCCAAAAGUUUGAUCAAUCUGAGAUCCCAAGUUGGCGAUCCGCUUUAACUAGAACUAAAAUAUGAAAAAUAGCUCGGUUAACCUGAAAUCCCAAUCUGGCGAUUCACUUUAACCAGAACCUUGGUCUUUGUUGUUAAGUUGAUCAACUUAAAAUCCCAAUACGACGAUUCUCUUUAAUAAGAACCAAAAUGUCGCCUUUAGCUUAGUUAAUCUGAAAUCUCAAUCUAAAGACCCCCUUUAACCAAAACCUUGGUCUUUUUCUUUAGCUCGAUCAACUUGAGAUCCCAAUCUAGUGAUUUCCUUUAACCAAAACCAAAAUGUCACCUUCAGCUUGGUUAACCUGAAAUCUCAAUCUACAGAUCCCCUUUAAUCAGAACCUUGAUUUUUGUCUUUAGCUCACUCAACUUGAGAUCCUAAUCUGGCUAUUCCCUUUAACUAGAACCAAAAUGUCACCUUCAGCUUGGUUAACCUGAAAUCUUAAUCUAGAGACCCCCUUUAACCAGAACCUUGGUCUUUGUCUUCAGCUUGGCCAACCUGAAAUCCCAAUUUGAUGAUUCCUUUUAACCAGAACUAAAAUGUUGUCUUAAGCUUGGUUAACCUAAAAUCUCAAUAUAGAGACCCCCUUUAAUUAGAACCUUGAUCUGUUUUUAGCUUGAUCAACCUGAGAUCCCAAUCCGGCAAUCCUAUUUAACUAGAACCAAAAUGUUUCUUUCAGUUUGGUUAACCUGAAAUCUCAAUCUAGUGACUCCCUUUAAUCAAACGAUUUCCUUUAACCAAAACCAAAAUGUUGCCUUUAACUCGGUUAACCUAAAAUCUCAAUUUAGAGACCCCUCUUUAACUAGAACCAACCAUAGGCUACUUAUAAAUCAACCUUCAACACCUAAAAACAAACCUCCACAUAACAACACUGCAAUUAUCAAUAACAACACCUAGUUCUAGCUAAAACCCUGAGCAAGAUAGCAACAACCCACAAAAAGAUAAAGCUGCUAAAUUGUUUCAACAUCUUAUCUAUAUAUGUAGAUUGAGACAAUUAAAGCAACUUUCUAGAUCUAUCCUUGUAGAUUUUUAUUUUCAGUAUAUAGACUGCUUCUCCCAUAUCCUUUCUAGGUUGCACCAGAUUCUUUUUUGUUUAAGUUUUGUUGGUUGAAAAAAAACUUUCUAAAAUUAUUAUUAUUAUUAUUAAUUUUCAUACACAAUUAUAUUUAUGAUUAUUAUAUGGUCAAUUUGUCUAUGUCAAAGAAUAGAAUCUGAGUCAACUUUUUGACCAAAAUUCCGUUCUCUAUUAUUCCUUCAAUAUUGGGGUUUAAUGCAAGCAACUUGUUUAUUCGGAUUUGAGAUGUAAAUAGAUUUUAAUUUUGUUAGGAUGAGGUGGUCAGGUUGCGUCACAUUGAUUAUGUCAUGAAGUUAACUAGAGUAAGAAAUAAAGAUAUCAAGUUUCGGAGAGAAUCAAGAUCAGUUAAAGCAAAAAAAAAACAGAUUAUGAAAAUAAAUUGGAAAGGAAAAGUUUAGUUAUAAGGAAUCAGAUUCACAAAGAAAUUUAAGUCUCAUCGAUUCUAGGAAACAAGUUGGAAGGAAUCAAUUUUACAAUAAUUGAACUUGGCACUAGAGAGAACCUUCGUGCCACUAAGUACUGAAUCGUUAUUCAAAUGUACUGAAGGCCAUUUGUUUGCCAUUUGUGCUAAUUAAGAACAUAAUUCUAUUCUUUUGUGAGUUAAUAUUCUGUAAAAUAAGCUUGGAAUAGCUUGCGGGGGCUUGGCUCAGAGAUCAUUGAGUUUUCACUACAAAUUGCCUUCUAAUGAUUAAACUGAGAUUUUUCUGAUUAGAGAACAGAAGGAAUCUUCUUUCAUAAUUGGCUUUUGCGAAGGUUUAGUGUUUUUGCUACUCCUGCUUUUGGACCUGACUUGAUUCCUGACCGGUAGAAACAGCAUUAGUCCAAAAGCAGGGAAGCUUUUGUUUUCUUGAAUCACAUGAUCUGAUAUUAUCAUUUAUGCCCAACACAAAUUCAUAAAAGUGGCUCUAAUGAUUGGCUGACAACAGUUGUUAAUGAGCAGUGUUAUUUUUCAGUUUACUAAGUAUUUAGAACAUUCAAUUCCAAUCCAAAGUCGAUAAUAAUAAACUCUUGGUGAUAGUUUUGUCAUCGAUGGUGAUCGGACGACAAAAAAACUAGAAUGAAUGGAGAUACCGUUAUUUUAUCACUGUAAAAAUAUGGAGUUGGUUUUUAAUGGGUCACGAGUCACAAAGACGAAAACAAGCUUCGCCAUAGAGAAGAAUACACAACUACUAGUCUACUAAUGACUUAAUAGUCUAUGUUUUCCCGAUGGACAUGCCUCGAACAUAUCAAGGUUAGUUAAUUUGCAGGAAUGCAGAUUGUAUGGAAUGAAGAGUCAUGACUGCCAUGUGUUCAUGCAAACACUCAUUCCAUUAGCUUAUCGUGAUUUAUUGCAAAAGGCAAUGAGAUGCACUCACGCAGAUCAUCAUUUCUUUAGACAUAUAUGCGCCAACAAGUUGCACACACAUCACAUUGAGAGGCUUGAAACGAAUAUCGUCGAGAUAAUAUGCAAACUUGAGAUGAUAUUCCCUCCAUUAUUUUUUGAUUCGAUGGAGCAUCUACCCAUACAUUUACCGUACGAGGCAAAAGUUGGAGGCCCAAUCCAGUAUAAAUGGAUGUAUUUAUUUGAGAGGUUAGAUAUUAUAGAUGCAACGUAAUGAUUAAUGUAUUUUCAUUUUUUUUAUUAAUUGAAAAUAUUUAUUUAAUUCAAUGUAGGUACUUGUUUAAUCUUAAGAAAAAAGGUUAAGAACAAGGCAUAUGUAGAGGCUUCGAUAUGUGAGGCCUAUAUUAUUGAGGAGAUCUCAACAUUUAUCUCGUACUAUUUCGAGCCUCAUUUGAGAACGGGAAUCAACCACAUUCCACGACAUAAUGAUGGUGGUGAAGUGCCUUCAAGUGGGAACUUGUCAAUAUUCUCCAAUCUUAGAUGACCCACACCUAAAAAUGUUGUACGGAGAAGUUAUUUUUCUGAAAUAGAGUUCCAAUAAACACACAAUUAUAUGCUAUUUAAUUGCGAUGAAUUGAGACCUUUUAUUCAGUAAGUAUAUAUACUACUUAAACUUNNNNNNNNNNNNNNNNNNNNNNNNNNNNNNNNNNNNNNNNNNNNNNNNNNNNNNNNNNNNNNNNNNNNNNNNNNNNNNNNNNNNNNNNNNNNNNNNNNNNCAAGAGCCGGCGGCCACCAGUUAUGAAGGUUCCCUAUGCUCAUCCCACAUAUUACUAUGUUCCUGCAACAGAAGUUAUCGACAGCAACGAGGCAGCUCAACGCUACAAGGGGAGGGUUUAUGUCGAUUAUCCUAAGGGGAAACCAGUUCCGUUUUAAAGACCUAGUGAUUAAUCACUUAGCUUUCUUGUAUGCAUAACCUCCUCCAGUUGUGUUACCUUUAGUCCUGUACGAUAUUCUCCCUCUGCUAAACGUAGACGAGGAGAGGUUGCUAGAACUCGAGUCAGGAGCUUCUUCUUACUUCUUCAAAUAAACUUUCUGUGAUUUAUAUAUCAUUUUCUAUUUGUAUGUAUUGUCAUAAUUAUCUUUCUUACUUCCUCAUUAUCACCUCAUACUUAGCAUGGAAUUGAAAGAUACACAAGUAAUAUGCUCUUGAAAUGCUUUGAAGCUCUUCAAGGUGUGAUUUCACCGACUAAGUUUGGAACUGUACAGAGCUCAAUGAUGAGCCGUGGGAGGCGUCUCUGAUUGUUGCACUGUAAGCAUGAGUGUACGUAUGAAUAUAACCAGCAGAUCCGCAAACCACAAGUGAUGACAAGCUUCUUAACACUACUACAGUUAACAGUUUUACUGACUGAUUUACGGACGGAAACAGUCCGUCGGUAAAUUCCUCUCGUCAGUAAUUUCAUUAAUGUCGG
This 86019-nucleotide long non-coding RNA is filed under the name Populus trichocarpa (black cottonwood). RNAcentral describes it as "long non-coding RNA (PTRI_LNC004370)". The stretch from base 61678 to 61833 matches the Rfam family "MIR2912 microRNA precursor family". Lineage: Eukaryota; Viridiplantae; Streptophyta; Magnoliopsida; Malpighiales; Salicaceae. The record is from RNAcentral.